GUAACACCCUCGAUGCGACUAUAUCUCCCACGUGUCGAGGCACGACUUAGAGGCAUAAUCGCAUUGAAGACAUAUGUCGCAAGUGAGGUAAUCUUCACACAACCCAUGUAAUAUAAUAAGGGAAAGAGAUACAUAGUUGUCUUACAAUCGCCACUUCACACAAUUACAUGAAUAAAGCAUUACCUCAAUCAGAUACAAACAAGGCCCGACUACGGAACCAAAAUAAAAGAAGAACCCCAAAUGCGACAAAGGUCCCCGAUCGACCCCAACUGGGCUCCACUACUGAUCAACUAAAACGAAACAGCACAAAGGGCAAGAUCUUCAUCGAGCUCCUCCUUGAGCUUGGUUGCGUCUCCUGCACGGUAACAUAGGCACCUGCAAACUGGUUUUGGAAGUAUCUGUGAGCCAUAGGGACUCAGCAAUCUCGCACCCGCGAGAUCAAGACUAUUUAAGCUUAUAGGAAGGAUGGAGUAAUGAGGUGGAGCUGCAGCAAGCGACUAGCAUAUAUGGUGGCUACAAUCGCAAAAGAGAGCGAGAAGAGAGGGCAAAGCACGGUCGAUAAAAGUAUGAUCAAGAAGUGAUCCUAUAGCAACCUACGUCAAGCAUAACUCCUACACCGUGUUCACUUCCCGGACUCCGCCGGAAAGAGACCAUCACGGUUACACACACGGUUGAAGUAUUUUAAUUAAGGUCAACUUCGGGUUUUCUACAACCGGACGUUAACAAAUUCCCAUCUGCCCAUAACCGCGGGCACGGCUUUCGAAAGUUCAAAUCCCUGCAGGGGUGUCCCAACUUAGCCCAUCACAAGCUCUCACGGUCAACGAAGGAAUAGACCUCCACCCGAGACAUUCCGAUCAGACUCGGUAUCCCGGUACAACAAGACAUUUCGACAGGGUAAAACUAAACCAGCAACACCGCCCGAAUGUGCCGACAAAUCCCGAUAGGAGCUGCACAUAUCUCUUUCUCAGGGCACACUCAGAUGAGCAAUCCGUACAACUAAAACCAAACCUCGAGUUUCCCCGAGGGGGCGCUGCACAGGGCUCUAGUUCGGACCAACACUCAGAGGAGCACUGGCCCGGGGGGGUUAAAAAAUGAUGACCCUUGAGUCUGCAGAACCCAAGGGAAAGAAAAGGCUAGGUGGCAAAUGGUAAAACCAAUGUUGGGCAUUGCUGGAGAAGCUUUACUUAAGGCGAACUGUCAAGGGGUUCCCAUUAUAGCCCAACCGUGUAAGGAACGCAAAAUCCGGGAACAUAACACCGAUAUGACGGAAACUAGGGCGGCAAGAGUGGAACAAAACACCAGGCAUAAGGCCGAGCCUUCCACCCUUUACCAAGUAUAUAGAUGCAUUAAUUAAGUAAGAUAUAUUGUGAUAUCCCAACAAGUAAACAUGUUCCAACAAGGAACAACAUCUCCAUGUUCCAACAAGGAACAAACUUCAAUCUUCACCUGCAACUAACAAUGCUAUAAGAGGGGCUGAGCAAAGCGGUAACAUAGCCAAUCAACGGUUUGCUAGGACAUGGUGGGUUAGAGGUUGAACAUGGCAAUUUGGGUGGCUGACAAGCAAGUGGUAGGCAUCGUAGCAUUGGCAUGGCAAAAGAGCGAGCAAACUAGCAUAGCAAAGAUAGUAGUGAUUUCGAGGGUAUGAUCAUCUUGCCUGAAAUCCCGCAAGGAAGAAGAACGAGACCAUGGAGAAGACAAACGAAUGUAGACGAACGGGUCCUCACAACGCGACGUUAUCGGAACCAACCCGAAGAAGCAACACCGGAAAGGAGCAAAACAAUCAUGGUAAACAACCACCACAUAAACAUGGCAUGAUGCACAACCAAGUAUGAUGCAUGUCCGGUUUAAUGAAGCAUGGCAUGACCAAAUGCACAAAACAAUCCUACAAAUUAAGUGGAGCUCAAUAUGCAACGAGUUGCAUAUUGACGAAACACCACAUUCAAGUUAUUUAGUUCUCUCCCGGUAAUGUACCCAACAAUAUUAAAUGUUAUUAAGCAUGGCAAGAGGUGAAGCAUAAAAGAAACUAUCUAACUAAGCAAUUUAAAUGGGGCCGGAUAUAACAAACAACAAAUCCGGUAAAUCCCCAUAUGCAUUAGUAAUUUAUUGCAACAAUAAUUUAAACAUAUUAAUUGUUGUUAUCAUGAUGUGGAUGACAUGAACAAGUUUAUGCAAUUUUUAUUAAAAGUUGACAUGAGCAUUAUGAAGCAUUUAGUCGUCAUGGCGGAACAAAAAGGGUGCCACGCCAACAACUCAAUGAGACGUCGGUGCAAAAGAAAGUGACGGGAGCAUGUCAUGUGAUGAACGGUGGGGUGCUCCCGGUAACCGGGUUCCCACGGGUUAGGAGCAUGGAAACGAGUGUCAAAACGGACACGGUGCAGACAAAGGGGUGCGUCUCAUACAACACAAGCAUUCGUUCUCGGACGUAUCUCGGUGGCUAUACCUUUGUAGCGUGCAAACGGGACGGUUCUUGUUCGAUGCCAAGUAGAGGAAGUAGACGUUCUCGAGACGUUUGUCGUGGAAGUAGUCGUACAACGUUUGUAGUUAAAGUAGUUGAACUUGACGUAAUCCACGCAAUCGGUGCUUGUUCGGGCAUCGGUCUUGAAGAAGAUGUACUUGGCGAAUCCGCGUAGUCGUUCGGGCGCCUGUGGAGGAACUUGACAUUCACGGUGUCCCGGUCUUGGCCAUGGAGAGGGGCGCAGCCCACACAAGGAGGGGAGACCAUGGUGAGUGCACUGGGCCUGCGCGUGCAGCGGUCAACGGGGCUGGGUGCUGCUAGUCAUCUCCUUCGCUAGGAGACAGAACGAAGGCGCGGCAGGAGUGCAAGCAGGGGGGGUGGCGCUGGUCGUCAUCGUUCGGCGCAGCAGAAAUAGGGUAGGCCAGCGACGGGGGUUUGGGGAGGUCGAUCCGGUCGACUCCGAGGCUUGGGCACGCCGGAGCUCCAGACUGGAGGCGGCGGGCGGCAUCCACGGCCAUGGCUGCUCCCGGAGCUUCGUCACAGGCGCACGGACAAAGGCAGGGCACUGGAGCUCGAGGUCGAUGGCGUCGGGCGCGAUGGAGCUCGGUGGGCGUGCGGCAGAAGGAGCAACUCCGGCAGGACGAGGGGCUCGGCGACGCGGACUUGUGGCGCCGGCGACGGGCGCGAUGGCUGCAGGCGCAGGUGCUCGAGGAGCUCCUCUCCUCGGGCGCCUGGGCGACGGGGAGCUUGGUGAGGAGGAGGCGCGGAAAGGUGGCUCCGGCCAGGGGCAUGGCCUGCUGGGCGGUCGGUGCGGGCGCCAUGGCCGGAGGCCAAGGUAGUGGACAAGGGGUUCGGGGGAAUGGGAAGCUGCUCCUCUGCGUGCAAGUGUUGGGAGGAGGACGAGGGAAAAGAGGCAUCGAGUAGGGAAGAGAUCGAAAGGGAGAUGGGAUCGAGAAGAUGGGGAAGAUGGGAUCGAGCGCGGGGGCUCUCCUGGCGGCGCGAGGGGAAAAACGAGAGGGAGAAGGGAGUCGGGCUAGGGUUUAGGUUAGGGAGUGGGCUGCGGGAGGCCUUGGGCCAAAUGGGCCUAGCUGGACACAAGUGGCGGCUGGGCUUCUCUCUUCCUCCUCUCUCUUUUCAUUAACAGGGAAUUAGAAGAAAGGAAAGAAGACAAGAGAAGGUUGGAAGAAGAAUUAGGGCAUGUGGUUAAUUUCUCCGGACUCACAAAAAUGCGCCCGGUCAAAGAAAAGUAGGAUUGGACAUGAUUGCAAGAAUUAAAUUCAAAGUCAUUUGAAUUUAAUUGAAAAGGUUUGAACAAGGGAUAGGAAUUAGAAAUGUCCAAAAAAUGUUGAGAAUUUAGGUGGAGCUCCGGAAAAUGACGAAAGGAUAUAUGGCAAAGUUAGAGGCCAAGAAUUGAAAUAAUAAAAGGCAUUGGGAUUUUUGCAAGUGUGUUAUGGUGACUCCAAAGAAUGGAUUAUUUUAUAAUAGCUCCACUAAUAUCGGGAGGAUAUAUUGUAAAGAGAAGUCAUCCUUCCCUCGAUUUAAAUGGAUCGAAGAUCCAUAAAAUUUAUUUAGUUGAGUAAGAAAAGAAAAGACAUGAUGGCAUGAUGACAUGAUGCAAUGCACAUGAUGCAAUGAAGAAUGCAACACGCAAGAAAAAGACAACGCAACAACAUCGAAUAACUGCAUGACACCUGGCACAUCGGUCUCGGGGCGUUACAACACUCCACCACUACGAGAGGAUCUCGUCCCGAGAUCUAGAAUGGCACCGGAGGGAAAACGGAAGAGAAAGGGAAGAGGUAAACUAAGUUGCUUCUUUGACAAACGAGUGAAACCACGAACCUUGAGAGGUUGGGCAAUUUAAAAGAAAGAGUACAACAUAGAUGAACGAGAUUGCAAACAAUCCGUUAGAAAAGAGGAACAAGGAACAUUACGAGGACUUGAAGGUUGCAAAGCUAUGAAUGACGAGUACAAUGGACAAGAAGGAAUUGACAUCACUCUGGUUGAAACGAGAUAAACAAGGAACAAGGAAGAUCAAAAUCGGACAGCACUCCGGUUGGAAAGAGAUGCAAGACUUGAUAAGAUGAAAAAGAACUUGAAAGAAAAAGGCAUGACACUCCGGUUAAAUGGAUAAACAUGAAAAGAACACGAUCCUGACAAAACAAGAUGAUGAGUGAAAAGAGCAACGUCACAAUGCCUCCGGAAGAAAGAAUAGAAGAUAGGUAAUUGAAAUAGAAGAAUGGAGAAGAAAAUGCCAAGCACCCUUCCAAGAAGGUUAUAACGGAGUUGUUGGAAAACCAACAACGAAAUGAAUAAGCUUGUAGUGGGCUUAUGAAAACAUCUCAACAUUAUGAGGUGACAACCGGCCACUAACGGAACAAUUACUUGCUUGAGAUUAACGAAGAGAUGAAAACUUGUUCCAUCAAGAUGGAAAAGAGAUAACUUGGGUCAUUAAUAAGCACCAAAUAGCAACAUUCCUUAGGGAAGGCUUUAGGUGAAAUCUAUACCAAGAUAACUCCAAUGAAGAGAUUGACGGUUGAAAAGAUCUCUUGAACAAAGAGAAAAAGAUGGAUUUAAAUAUGUCACUCUUGAAAACUUGUGAAUCAUGAAACGCGAAGGAAAAUUAUUAAGAAUGACCUAACACCACCUCAAAAGAUAAGGUCGAAAGAAUUGCACUUCGGAAUGCAAGAUGAAGAAUGCUUGAACUCCUCAAAACAAAACAUGUGUUGAGCACCAUGUUUAUUUUUGAGUAUAGCUUGGCUGAUCUUAACUUCAAGAGAAAUCUUGAAGAACAAUUGAAGAAUGAAAAGAAUCCUUGACGAACCACCAUGUAGAACCUCCAUGAAGAACUCCGGUAAUAAAAGGAUGAUAAAAAGAAAGAGAAGUUGAAAACACAAGGUGAAGCCUUGCGAUGAUUUAGAUGGAGCUUCGCGACGAGAUAAUGCGGAAAACUUAGAACUCCGGAAGAAAGAUGAACAACAAGAAGCCAAGAAUUUAUUCCUCCUGGACAAACUCUGAAGGAGAGGAUUAAUCACUUGGAUGAAACCAGAAUAAGAAUUAUGUUAUGCGUAUCCUUCACCAAUUUAAAUUGAUGACAAUCAACGGAUUUGGCAUACUACUUAUUCUCGUAGAAAGGAUUAAGAUAGAUAUGGCGUAAACUUGAGAAGGUCUUCAACGAACCACCGGUAGGAUUUGGAAAGGACGAAUGAAUUGAUAUGAUAACAAGGUAAGAAGAAUCUUGAGCGAACCACCAUAAGAAUUAAAAUAAAUGAAGUAAAGGGAUGAAUCACCGGUUAGAAUUAGCAAAUACAUGAAGAUGCUUGAGAGGAUUUAGAUACAUGAGAACGACGAGAUCACGAGCCGAUUAAAGAUCACUUGAACGAAGCACCGGUAAGAUCGGAGAAUGAUAACUGCAAACUGAGAAUGAAUAAAUCUGAAUUGAUGGACUCCGGAUGACAAACUGAGAAGACUCUUGAAUAUCUCCUGAUGGGUGAAAAAGAUUCUCACAAUCGAAAACAAUUAUGAGAGGAUGGCAACAAGCUAGCACCAUGAAUCUUGAAAAGAAUAGAGCAAGAUUAAAGAGAAACUCUUCUUCGGUCUUCAAAUGAUGAGAAUGACAACGGGAAACACCACCAAGAAUUAUUGAGGCACACCGGAAGAAUCAAAAGCGAAGAGGUUGAGCCAACUAUGAAAAGAAUUUGAAAGAUCUUGGAGAAAAGCAUUUGACUAAUGAUAACUCAUUCUUACGUCAAACUUGGAGAAGAAUUUAGGAUAGCUCUGGGAAAAUAGAAGAGUCAGGUAAGAUCUUGGGAAAAGACCUGUGGGUUAGGGCCCACUCAAAAGAACACCGUUGAAAAGAUUUAAAAGAGAUGUUGCACCGGUUGAAUUAAAUGACUUGAAUGAGAUACCAAUCUCGAAAGAGCUUGAACGAAUGCAGAGUGGAAACACGAAUCUUCGAGAUAUCUUGAGCACUCCAGAACAAUUUAAUAGCGAGAGAUGGAUGAUUAAGAGGUGCACCGGCAUAAGAAAAGCAUUGGAAAAAAAAAGAAAAGGAGUAUGCUUAAUACCAAAGCUUGAAUUAAAUCCACCGGAGAAGAAAAGAACGAGGAAUGAUGAACUUGAAGCUCCAUUAGAAUCUUCAUGAGAAUCACCGGAUAAGAACAUUGACGGAAAAGAAUGGAGAAACUUCCCAUCAAUAAAAUGGAUACUUGAAGAAGAAAUCUUAGUCCUUGAAGAAAAACAAAAGGGAGGGAGGGUGGGAAAAACAAAGGCAACUUGGAGACGGAUGAAACAAACACCGUUGAGAAGAAGUGAUAAAUGAUCUUGCAAAUGUUGACGUGAACGGAUCCACUUGAGGAGAGACACACCGGUUUAAAAAAAGGAUUGACAAGACAGACUCGAUGAUCAAGAAGGAUUAGUAUUCACAUAGGAAUAUGAGAACACCAUUUGAAAAAGGUAUGGAAUCAACAUUUGACAUUGAAGCAACUCGAAUACCACAACUCAAAACAAAAACAAAGGACUGGCUUGCAAAAUAAGCCAGAACAAACAUAUGAUAGAGAUUUCGUCCGAAGUUUUCGUGGUGGGGCCUACACGGGCUUGAGUGUACAGCACCAUCAUGUACAAGGCAGUGCACAUGACAUACGAAGCGUCCCCGAGUCGGCAUAGCCAAGGACUCUUUAAGACACAACGAGACCACUGUAAAAUCGACCGUGAAUAGGCGGACCACUAGACGUCGAACCCCAAUUUCAUAUCAUACAUCUGUCGGAAAGAUAUCCUAAGAGCUACUUGAAUUCCCACCUAUGAAACUCCCGAAAUUUUCAGGUUAUGCAAUCAGGUGUUGGGGAUACAGGGGAAGCAUAAUAUCUCACCCAAACUAGCAAAUCCUACAUCCAGCUGUAUCCAUCCUUCAACACAUAACCAAGAAACCUUCGGAAAUCAUCUACCUCAACCUUCGAAAAGCAUCCGUUAUACAAGUCAUGGCAAUACUCCCGUACUCACCUCAGUACUGGGUUAUCGGGGUUAUCUCACCAACAACUGCAUAAAAGAUAUUUUCGAUGUCGGCGUACUAAACUCAGGUAUUCCAGAACUGCAACGAUAAAAUUAUGAUGACAACACCUCAGAGCUCAACUCCCCGGGACACUUCCACAAAACCCCUGACAGGAGGCACCAAGACAAUGUUCUCAUCAUAAAACCAUCGGAACGAUUCCAAGAUACCCGCGUGAUCCUAAAAUUUUUUUUAGUGAAAUUUGAGAAGAGAAGAGUCAAAACUCUACGUCAGGAUGCCUUACCAGAGCGAUGAGGAGACUCGGAAGUAAAAAGAAUUCCUAAACUCUCCGAUAUAUAAUUCCUAAGGACUCAAAACAUUUUUUCUAGACACAACUCGGCUGCUAAAGACGAUCAAGCAAUGGGGCUCCUAAGGUCGGGGAAGGCUCUGAUUACCAACUUGUAACGCCCUCGAUGCGACUAUAUCUCCCACGUGUCGAGGCACGACUUAGAGGCAUAAUCGCAUUGAAGGCAUAUGUCGCAAGUGAGGUAAUCUUCACACAACCCAUGUAAUAUAAUAAGGGAAAGAGAUACAUAGUUGGCUUACAAUCGCCACUUCACACAAUUACAUGAAUAAAGCAUUACCUCAAUCAGAUACAAACAAGGCCCGACUACGGAACCAAAAUAAAAGAAGAACCCCAAAUGCGACAAAGGUCCCCGAUCGACCCCAACUGGGCUCCACUACUGAUCAACUAAAACGAAACAGCACAAAGGGCAAGAUCUUCAUCGAGCUCCUCCUUGAGCUUGGUUGCGUCUCCUGCACGGUAACAUAGGCACCUGCAAACUGGUUUUGGAAGUAUCUGUGAGCCACAGGGACUCAGCAAUCUCGCACCCGCGAGAUCAAGACUAUUUAAGCUUAUAGGAAGGAUGGAGUAAUGAGGUGGAGCUGCAGCAAGCGACUAGCAUAUAUGGUGGCUACAAUCGCAAAAGAGAGCGAGAAGAGAGGGCAAAGCACGGUCGAUAAAAGUAUGAUCAAGAAGUGAUCCUAUAGCAACCUACGUCAAGCAUAACUCCUACACCGUGUUCACUUCCCGGACUCCGCCGGAAAGAGACCAUCACGGUUACACACACGGUUGAAGUAUUUUAAUUAAGGUCAACUUCGGGUUUUCUACAACCGGACGUUAACAAAUUCCCAUCUGCCCAUAACCGCGGGCACGGCUUUCGAAAGUUCAAAUCCCUGCAGGGGUGUCCCAACUUAGCCCAUCACAAGCUCUCACGGUCAACGAAGGAAUAGACCUCCACCCGAGACAUUCCGAUCAGACUCGGUAUCCCGGUACAACAAGACAUUUCGACAGGGUAAAACUAAACCAGCAACACCGCCCGAAUGUGCCGACAAAUCCCGAUAGGAGCUGCACAUAUCUCUUUCUCAGGGCACACUCAGAUGAGCAAUCCGUACAACUAAAACCAAACCUCGAGUUUCCCCGAGGGGGCGCUGCACAGGGCUCUAGUUCGGACCAACACUCAGAGGAGCACUGGCCCGGGGGGGGGGGUUAGAAUAAAGAUGACCCUUGAGUCUGCAGAACCCAAGGGAAGGUGGUAGGUUGUUAGUGCAAAUGGUAAAACCAAUGUUGGGCAUUGCUGGAAGAGCUUUACUUAAGGCGAACUGUCAAGGGGUUCCCAUUAUAGCCCAACCGCGUAAGGAACGCAAAAUCCGGGAACAUAACACCGAUAUGACGGAAACUAGGGCGGCAAGAGUGGAACAAAACACCAGGCAUAAGGCCGAGCCUUCCACCCUUUACCAAGUAUAUAGAUGCAUUAAUUAAGUAAGAUAUAUUGUGAUAUCCCAACAAGUAAACAUGUUCCAACAAGGAACAACAUCUCCAUGUUCCAACAAGGAACAAACUUCAAUCUUCACCUGCAACUAACAAUGCUAUAAGAGGGGCUGAGCAAAGCGGUAACAUAGCCAAUCAACGGUUUGCUAGGACAUGGUGGGUUAGAGGUUGAACAUGGCAAUUUGGGUGGCUGACAAGCAAGUGGUAGGCAUCGUAGCAUUGGCAUGGCAAAAGAGCGAGCAAACUAGCAUAGCAAAGAUAGUAGUGAUUUCGAGGGUAUGAUCAUCUUGCCUGAAAUCCCGCAAGGAAGAAGAACGAGACCAUGGAGAAGACAAACGAAUGUAGACGAACGGGUCCUCACAACGCGACGUUAUCGGAACCAACCCGAAGAAGCAACACCGGAAAGGAGCAAAACAAUCAUGGUAAACAACCACCACAUAAACAUGGCAUGAUGCACAACCAAGUAUGAUGCAUGUCCGGUUUAAUGAAGCAUGGCAUGACCAAAUGCACAAAACAAUCCUACAAAUUAAGUGGAGCUCAAUAUGCAACGAGUUGCAUAUUGACGAAACACCACAUUCAAGUUAUUUAGUUCUCUCCCGGUAAUGUACCCAACAAUAUUAAAUGUUAUUAAGCAUGGCAAGAGGUGAAGCAUAAAAGAAACUAUCUAACUAAGCAAUUUAAAUGGGGCCGGAUAUAACAAACAACAAAUCCGGUAAAUCCCCAUAUGCAUUAGUAAUUUAUUGCAACAAUAAUUUAAACAUAUUAAUUGUUGUUAUCAUGAUGUGGAUGACAUGAACAAGUUUAUGCAAUUUUUAUUAAAAGUUGACAUGAGCAUUAUGAAGCAUUUAGUCGUCAUGGCGGAACAAAAAGGGUGCCACGCCAACAACUCAAUGAGACGUCGGUGCAAAAGAAAGUGACGGGAGCAUGUCAUGUGAUGAACGGUGGGGUGCUCCCGGUAACCGGGUUCCCACGGGUUAGGAGCAUGGAAACGAGUGUCAAAACGGACACGGUGCAGACAAAGGGGUGCGUCUCAUACAACACAAGCAUUCGUUCUCGGACGUAUCUCGGUGGCUAUACCUUUGUAGCGUGCAAACGGGACGGUUCUUGUUCGAUGCCAAGUAGAGGAAGUAGACGUUCUCGAGACGUUUGUCGUGGAAGUAGUCGUACAACGUUUGUAGUUAAAGUAGUUGAACUUGACGUAAUCCACGCAAUCGGUGCUUGUUCGGGCAUCGGUCUUGAAGAAGAUGUACUUGGCGAAUCCGCGUAGUCGUUUGGGCGCCUGUGGAGGAACUUGACAUUCACGGUGUCCCGGUCUUGGCCAUGGAGAGGGGCGCAGCCCACACAAGGAGGGGAGACCAUGGUGAGUGCACUGGGCCUGCGCGUGCAGCGGUCAACGGGGCUGGGUGCUGCUAGUCAUCUCCUUCGCUAGGAGACGGAACGAAGGCGCGGCAGGAGUGCAAGCAGGGGGGGAUGGCGCUGGUCGUCAUCGUUCGGCGCAGCAGAAAUAGGGUAGGCCAAGGACGGGGGUUUGGGGAGGUCGAUCCGGUCGACUCCGAGGCUUGGGCACGCCGGAGCUCCAGACUGGAGGCGGCGGGCGGCAUCCACGGCCAUGGCUGCUCCCGGAGCUUCGUCACAGGCGCACGGACAAAGGCAGGGCACUGGAGCUCGAGGUCGAUGGCGUCGGGCGCGAUGGAGCUCGGUGGGCGUGCGGCAGGAGGAGCAACUCCGGCAGGACGAGGGGCUCGGCGACGCGGACUUGUGGCACCGGCGACGGGCGCGAUGGCUGCAGGCGCAGGUGCUCGAGGAGCUCCUCUCCUCGGGCGCCUGGGCGACGGGGAGCUUGGUGAGGAGGAGGCGCGGAAAGGUGGCUCCGGCCAGGGGCAUGGCCUGCUGGGCGGUCGGUGCGGGCGCCAUGGCCGGAGGCCAAGGUAGUGGACAAGGGGUUCGGGGGAAUGGGAAGCUGCUCCUCUGCGUGCAAGUGUUGGGAGGAGGACGAGGGAAAAGAGGCAGCGAGUAGGGAAGAGAUCGAAAGGGAGAUGGGAUCGAGAAGAUGGGGAAGAUGGGAUCGAGCGCGGGGGCUCUCCUGGCGGCGCGAGGGGAAAAACGAGAGGGAGAAGGGAGUCGGGCUAGGGUUUAGGUUAGGGAGUGGGCUGCGGGAGGCCUUGGGCCAAAUGGGCCUAGCUGGACACAAGUGGCGGCUGGGCUUCUCUCUUCCUCCUCUCUCUUUUCAUUAACAGGGAAUUAGAAGAAAGGAAAGAAGACAAGAGAAGGUUGGAAGAAGAAUUAGGGCAUGUGGUUAAUUUCUCCGGACUCACAAAAAUGCGCCCGGUCAAAGAAAAGUAGGAUUGGACAUGAUUGCAAGAAUUAAAUUCAAAGUCAUUUGAAUUUAAUUGAAAAGGUUUGAACAAGGGAUAGGAAUUAGAAAUGUCCAAAAAAUGUUGAGAAUUUAGGUGGAGCUCCGGAAAAUGAUGAAAGGAUAUAUGGCAAAGUUAGAGGCCAAGAAUUGAAAUAAUAAAAGGCAUUGGGAUUUUUGCAAGUGUGUUAUGGUGACUCCAAAGAAUGGAUUAUUUUAUAAUAGCUCCACUAAUAUCGGGAGGAUAUACUAUAAAGAGAAGUCAUCCUUCCCUCGAUUUAAAUGGAUCAAAGAUCCAUAAAAUUUAUUUAGUUGAGUAAGAAAAGAAAAGACAUGAUGGCAUGAUGACAUGAUGCAAUGCACAUGAUGCAAUGAAGAAUGCAACACGCAAGAAAAAGACAACGCAACAACAUCGAAUAACUGCAUGACACCUGGCACAUCGGUCUCGGGGCGUUACAACCGGCCACUGCGUGGCCGAGCCAGAGAGGCGUUUCAGCCUAAAGUUCAGCCUGCACCCCGCCGCCACUCAUUCAAAAAUACCAAGGCCCGGGGCAACACACGGGACCUGCGAGACGUAUUGGACAGUAAGGCAAAACUUGCAAGGUCAAUAUACGGGUCACGUGCACGCGCGCCAACACAGGACGAUGAUCGUCACGCCGGAUACACCAAAAGCAAAUCCGGCCGGGCCGAACAUAGCAGACAAGACUCACAUGAACUGCGUCAGGAUAUAGCCCGACACAGAGGCGCCGCACACCCCCUAUGCUUCAAUGAUGAAGUUAUGGAUCAUGAAUUCCUGGAGGGUUUCAAACUCGUAAAUAUCGAAUCAUAUGAUGGUACAACAGAUCCUGCUGUAUGGAUUGAGGAUUUCCUCCUUCACAUCCACAUGGCUUGCAGUGAUGAUCUACAUGCCAUCAAAUACCUCCCACUAAAACUCAAAGGACCAGCUCAGCAUUGGCUGAAUAGCUUGCCAGCAGACUCCAUCAACAGUUGGGAGGAUCUGGAAGACACAUUCCUUGACAACUUCCAGGGCACUUAUGUGCGACCACCGGAUGCUGAUGACUUGAGCCAUAUAACUCAGCAGCCAGGGGAAUCGGCCAUACAAUUCUAGACACGAUUCCUGACUAAGAAAAACCAAAUUGUCGAUUGUCCGGAUGCAGAGGCCUUAGCAGCAUUCAAGCAUAACAUCCGUGACGAGUGGCUUGCCCGACACCUCGGCCAAGAAAGGCCGAAGUCUAUGGCAGCCCUCACGACACUCAUGACCCGCUUCUGCGUGGGCGAGGAUAGCUGGCUGGCUCGCAGCAAUAACACAUCGAGGAAUCCGGGCACUUCGGAUACCAAAGAUGCCAACGGCAAACAAUGUCGUAACAGACCAAAGCGCCGCAAUAAUGGCGAUAACACUGAGGAUACGGCAGUCAAUGCCAGAUUCAGAGGCUCUAGAUCCGGUCAGCGGAAAAAGCCAUUUAAAAGAAGUACUCCGGCUCCGUCCAGUUUGGAUCACAUACUGGAUCGCUCGUGUCAAAUCCACGGCACCCUCGACAAGCCAACCAAUCACACCAACAGAGAAUGCUGGGUGUUCAAGCAGGCCAGCAAGUUAAAUGCCGAAAACAAGGACAAGGGGCUGCAUAGUAAUGACGAGGAAGAGCCCCGGCCACCGAACAUGGGAGGACAGAAAGGGUUCCACCCACAAGUGAAGAGGUGAACAUGAUAUACGCAACCCACAUUCCCAAGAGGGAGCGGAAGCGUGCACUAAGGGACGUCUAUGCGAUGGAGCCCGUCGCCCAAAAGUUCAACCCAUGGUCUGCUUGCCCGAUCACCUUUGAUCGCAGGGAUCACCCCACUAGCAUCCGUCAUGGCGGAUCCGCCGCACUAGUCCUUGACCCCAUCAUCGACGGAUUUCAUCUCACUCGAGUCCUUAUGGACGGCGGCAGCAGCCUGAACCUGCUCUAUCAGGAUACAGUGCGAAAAAUGGGUAUCGAUCCCUCGAGGAUGAAACCCAGCAAAACCACCUUUAAAGGCGUCUUACCAGGUGUAGAGGCCCAUUGCACAGGCUCAAUCACACUGGAAGUGGUCUUCGGAUCACCGGACAACUUCCGAAGCGAGGAGUUAAUUUUCGACAUCAUCCCGUUUUGCAGUGGCUAUCAUGCACUCCUCGGACGAACUGCAUUUGCAAAAUUUAAUGCAGUGCCGCAUUACGCAUACCUCAAGCUCAAGAUGCCAGGACCUAGGGGGGGUCAUAACAGUAAAUGGAAACACAGAACGCUCACUCCGCACGGAAGAGCGCACUGCGGCCCUUGCGGCAGAAGCACAAAGCAGCCUUUUAAGGCAAACCACUAAUUCGGCGUCACAGCCCCUGGACACCUUCAAGCGAGUCCAUAAUAAGCUGCAACAGGAUCGUCUGACACGUUCAGAGCUCGCCUAGCAAUUCGGCCCCCGUCCCAGUCCCAGUCAAGCGACGAAAUUCGUGCUGCGCGUACAUAACUACGCACUAAAAAUACCAUGGAUAUAGAUGGGGGCACAAUCAGGGCACGUCCCACAAUGCGGCUUAACUGCACUAGGGGCUAUAUACCUUUAUUACUUCUUUUCUCUUUUAGGACCUAACACCCCGGAAGCCCUUUCUGGCAGUACGAUUGCCGGACAGAUUACGGGAAGCAACAACCAAGGUGGCAAGAAGCCAAGUGUCGGUGGGAACGACACCUAUGGGAUCACAAGAAUCCCUACUACGGUUGCGGGGCGCGGGGUCGUGAGAAGAGCGGAUCAAACAGAUAGCACAUGGUUCGUUUAUCCAGGUUUGGGCCGCGAGGAUGCAUAAAACCCUACUCCUGCUUUGGUGGAUUGUAUAUCUGUGUUCUUGAGCUAGCUAUGGGGCGUGAGGAGCUCCAAAAAGCCAAAUCCUCCUCCUGGUUGCCUCGGGCCUCCUUUUAUAGGAAAGGGGUUGCCACAAUGGCACACAUGAGGUGGAAAGGGUACAGUGAUGCGAGGUUAUCCCUCGCAUUACAUGAGAAGGCGCAUUUAAUGCGUCUUGCCCAGGUGUCCUUGCUUUAUCAGGGACGGGGGAGAGCCUUGUCUCGUCCGUCGCCGCUCCCUCUUGUGUCGACAUGCGCCCUGGCCAGCGGUGCCCGCGGUGCCAUGUAGGCAGGCAGGCAGCUGAGGUGGCGCAGUGGCGGGUCUCCACGAAGAUCCGCAUGCCGCCACGCAGAUGCCUGCCCAGCUGGUUGGGUCGGCAGCUGCAUGCGAACGGCGGUGGAGGUUUGACUGGCGUGGGCCUAAUGGUGGCCCCACGGGUGUUCUUGGCAAGGGCCUUGCCGGGGCCUCGGCAAGGGUCUUGCCGUGGCGCCUGCUGUCAUCCCCGGCAAGGCUCUUGCCGGGGGCCUUGUGGUCCUCCUUGGCUGGGAUCUCGCCAAGGAUCAUCAUCUUCUAAAGGGUGUAUCUGAUCUUGAAUGCCUUCACAAAGAUCUGCAUGCCACCACGGGGAUGUCUCCCGAAUCCUUGCCCCAUGGGGGCAGUGGACUCAAGGGUGACUCACUCCGUAGGUGUGGGGCGAGCUGCCACGGCAAGGGUCUUGCCGGGUUUGCUAAAACCGCCUCCCGGCAAGGAUCUUGCCGAGGGGGGGGGGGUCCGCUUCGUCCCCUUUGCUCUUUGUGGUCUUGGUCUUGGCGUCGUUCUGCUUCUCCUAAGCUUCGGCCUUACCUUGGCUCACCUCCCUUGCCUUGCUCAGUGUGGUGGUGCCCGUGGCUCAGACUGCCCGUGCACAGUUAUAGGGGUACAAAAAGUGUACCCCUCUUUUUGUACACCGACAGGAGCCCUCGGGCCACACGUAAGCGCAAUCACGUCAUUGGGCUAGGCCCAAAAACGGCGCGCGGACAGGCGGGGCGGUUUUUACCGCGGUAAGUCUCUUCGCGCGCUGCGCUUCCCAUGCUUCCCGUGCAUGGCGUGGUGUGGGGUGGCGUGUGUGACGUGGGCGGCAUGCGUGGGGCUGAGCUCUGCAUGCAUGCGUCAUGUCGUAGUAAAGGGGGCGGUUCGCGCCUUCCCCAGAAACGGAGGGAGGCAUGGAGGCGUGGCCCAUUUACUGAACGGGGCCAAGGCGUGGUCUUCAAGGCGUCCACUCCCCAUGAUCACAGGGUGGGGAGAGGUCGCCUCUCCCGUCGCCUCGGUCCUGCACGCCCGUCACGUGGCUCUCAUGCGCUUAGGGUGGCGAACGGUGGAGGCGGGAAACCGGGCCGCCGCGGGCCGGGGUGGCUGGUCGGUCCCAGUUCCCUGCGCCUUCUGCGUCUUGAUUGGCUGAGCGGGGUGGCCGAGCCCCCACCCUGUUCCUUUAUAAAGAGCGGGAGGGGGGGGUGGCAUCCCGCAUUCUUUCAUCUCCUCCUUCCUUCAGCUUCUGCUUCCCCUUCCAUCCGCCAUGGAGAGAGGGAAUCCUGGCCCUUCAACGGUGGUGGCGAGGGUCGCCGCUCGACAAUGCAUCCCUCCUUCUCCUGCACCCGCGGUGGCAAAGCCAGCCGCGAGGGGAAGGGGAAGGGGGCGAGGCCGAGGCACUUGGGGAAGAGGAGAACGGGGCGGCGCGCCGGCCUCGCCUCUGCCAGUAGUUCCUCCUCCCAUGGAGGGCCACGUUGGGGAUGACCCUUGCGAGUUCUUCGUCAGGCUACGCCGGCCGCCUCGCUGUCGCCUUCGUCUCCCGACUCCAUUCACAUAGGAGAUGGAGCUGGAUCCGCCGGAGUCAUUGCGGCUGCACAUGAGGGGUUGUGGGAUCAACGGCACGCGGGUCCGCGUCGACUUCCCCGCCCCUCAUGUGAUGUAUCUUUGUCGGGGAUGGAAGACGUUUGCCCAUAUCCACCGCUUGACGGAGGGGCUCAAUCUCCAUUUUAAGCUGAUGGAGGGUGGCCUUCUCUCCGUCAAGGUCUUCGGGUGCUUUGGGACCCGUGCAAGGUGCUGCGUGGAGAGCUCUUCUGAUAGUGAAGACUCCUUCUCGGGCGGGAGUGACGAGGAGGACAACAGCAGCGACGACGAGGGUAGUAGGAGGCAGGAUGAUGGGUCCGAUUAGGUGUCGGGUGCCGCUCCGUGCGGCACCGGCGACCCCAUCAUCCGCGUCGCCGGCUCCCUGAACUUCUCGGGGUCGUAUCCUUGGGCGGCUGGCGUUGGGAGGCUGCGGGAGAGGAAGAGGGCGGGCGGCAAGGCCGUCAAGUCGGAGUACGCGGGCACCGACGCCUUUGACGCGUGCUGACGUCCUGCCGCCUCGUCUUCGAGCUCUGCUUCCAGCGCCGCCAUCACCAUCCAGCCUUCGGACGGCCACCGAGAUGUUCUCUUGGUGUCUUCUGCCACCCGUAGCUCGCCUAGGCGCCCCUUUUGCCCUUUUCGCCUCCUUGACCUGCCUCCUGAGGAGAGGGACAAGAAAGGGAUUAUGGGCACCUUAUCUCUUUUUAGUUUGUAAGCCUUCGGGCCUUAGCUGAAUUUAAAACUUGUAAUCCCAUCAUUCAUGUUUUUCAUUCCGUAUGGACUGUACCUGAGUGGAAUGUUUUUAAUGAAAAAGGGAUGCUUGUCGGGUCAUUUGUUUGUGGGUAGAACCCACGACAAGGUGUAAAUCCUUGAUAUCUUUUAAGAUAAACAUUUCCUUGCCCGGGAACAGGCCUUGCCGUCUCCCCACUUCGCUCGACCUUUCUCACACCUUUGGCGGAGGCAGGGAUGUGGUGGGUUCAGGAUCCUCGUUUCAUCCUCUCGCUGCCGUGACUACGACCAAACCUGGUCCCAGGGACGAGCCCUAGGGCCUAGAGUUAGGGGAGCAUGGUAGCCUUAGGAAAAACGAGGUUUCACAUACCUCAGUCCAUAAGGGAAUGCAUGAUAAGGGAUGAAGAACUUAUCUGAAGCUGUAGCCCCCGGCAACUCUGGUUUGCCAUGGGUGAAUCUUUGCUCUUGCAGCCCCCGGCAAUACUGGCUUGCCGGGGUCUAGAUGCUGGUCUGUCCCUCUUCUCUUUUUCAUCCUCAAGUGAUCCGGCAAGGAUAUCUGCGAGUCCUGCGAACCAAAGAAGACGAAAGAACGGCAAAGAGACGCACACUCGACCUCUAAGCUAGGGGUUAGUCGCCACUAAGCACUAUCAACCCUAACCAAGGACGAGACUCAACCUAGCAUGCAUGCUAUAACUUAGGGCGCCAACGCUUCAUUUACUUGUGCUCAGGGUCUGCGCCUGGCUUUGUACAAAGGGUUAUAUGCAUCAUCGGCAAUGCUUGUACAAAAGGUGGCUUGCUGGGGGGCCCGACAAGCCGUGCCUCACGGGUAAAACUUGCGAAGAUGCUCAAUGUUCCAGGAGUUACUCACCGGAACGGCAUCUUCGAUCUCCAGGCGGACUGCGCCGGGCCUGGUGACUCGUAUUACCCGAUAAGGGCCUUCCCACUUUGGCGUCAACUUGUUGGAAUUCUUGGCCGAUUGAACGCGCCGAAGGACAAGGUUGCCUUCCUCAAGGCUUCGUGCAUGAACCUUGCGGCUAUGGUAGCGACGCAAGGCUUGCUGAUAGCGUGCUGCUCUCACAGCCGCCCGAAGACGAUCUUCCUCAAGGAGCAUUGCGUCAUCUUGCCGCAGUUGCUCUUGCUCAAGCUCAUCAUAAGUGAGCACUCGAGGUGACCCAUAUAUGAGUUCAGUGGGGAGAACUGCCUCUGCCCCGUAUACUAGGGCAAAGGGUGUCUGACCGGUGGCUCGAUUUGGCAUCGUCCCGAUCGACCAAAGAACCGUCGGCAACUCAUCAAUCCAGCGCCUUCCGCUCUUGUGUAGCCUGUCAAAGGUCUUGGUCCUUAAGCCUCGUAGUACUUCAGCAUUUGCCCUCUCAGCUUGACCAUUGCUUCGUGGGUAAGCAACGGAAGCGAAACAGACUUUGCUGCCGAGGUCUUGGAUAUAUUGCAUGAAGGUGCGGCUUGUGAACUGUGUGCCAUUGUCGGUGAUGACCCUGUUGGGUACACCAAAACGGCACACUAGUCCCUUGAAGAACUUGACGACUGACUGAGCUGUGACCUUCCUCACUGCCUCCACCUCCGGCCACUUUGUGAACUUGUCGAUUGCAACGUACAAGUACUCAAAGCCCCCGACAGCGUGGGGGAAAGGGCCCAGUAUAUCGAGCCCCCAGACCAAGAAGGGCCAGGAGAGAGGAAUGGUUUGAAGGGCUUGAGCUGGCUGAUGAAGCUUCUUUAAAUGGAACUGACACGCUUCACACCUGGUGACUAGUGUCGUCACAUCCUGGAGGGCGGUGGGCCAGAAGAAGCCUUGCCAAAAUGCCUUGCUGGCAAGGGCCCUUGACCCGAUGUGGGAUCCACAUAUGCCUCUGUGUAUCUCCCCAACAGCUCCAGUCCUUCCUCCCGAGGGAUAUAUUUCAAUUUCACACCGUUCGGCCUCUUCCUGUACAGGACGUCAUCGACGAACUGGUACAUGGUAGAGCGACGGGCUACUUUUUCCGCUUCUUCCUGCUCUUCAGGAAGUUCCCCUGUUUGGAGGAAUCGGACGCUAUGCUGUGCCCACGCUGGAGCCUGGGGCUCGACGGCGAGGACUAAAGGCAUUUCCUCCGCUAUAGGAGCGGCUGUCUCAACGGCAAGAGCUUGACGCUCCGCCGGAGCUAGCCGUCCCAUGGCAGGCUCAGUGUCCCCGGCAACAUCCUUGCCGGCGGCUUCGUGGAGCUCGGCGGGAAAGUACUUGUCGGGUCCUGAUUUCCUCCUCUUGUUCUGCUCUAUUGAUGGAUCAACGGAUGGCUGAGUUAGCUGGAGCACAAAGGUACCUGGUUCCAUAGGUAGCUUGAGGGCAGCGUGUUUUGACAGGUAAUCGGCGAUAUCGUUCUCCGCUCAGGGAACGUAUUCAGCCUGUAUACCGUCGAAACGCUCUUCCAGCUUUCUCACUUCAUCGACGUAGGCCUUCAUCAACGGGCUCUGGUAGUCCUUGUUGACUUGCUUGACGACGAGCUGCGAGUCGCCCCUGACGAUGAGCUUCUUGAUUCUGAGGUCCGCCGCGAUCCUAAGACCGGCAAGCAGCCCUUCGUACUCUGCCGUAUUGUUUGUUGACACCUCCCUGGGGAAGUGCAUCUGGAUCACGUACUUGAGGUGCUCUCCGGUGGGUGCAACAAGCAGUACGCCAGCCCCGGUGCCGUGUAAGGAGAAAGCUCCAUCAAAGUACAUGAUCCAAAUGCAACUUGCCUCCUUGCCGGGGAGAGAAGUCUCUUGGGCUUCUUCGUCAGGCGUUGUGGUCCAUUCUGCAAUGAACUCCGCCAGGACUCGGCUCUGAAUCGUUGAAGUACUUUCAAACUUGAGGCCAAAGCUGGACAGCUCCAGUGCCCAUUCCACAAUUCUUCCCGUUGCAUCUGGAUUGUGCAAUAUCCGUUGCAGAGGGAGGUGAAUGACGACAGUGAUCUCGUGUGCCUGGAGGUAGUGAUGCAACUUCCUCGAGGCCAUAAGUAGGCCGAAGAGUAGUUUCUGCACGCCAGAGUACCUUGAUCUAGCUCCCUGCAGGAGGGAACUAACAAAGUAGGUUGGGUGCUGCAUCAUUUUCUUCUUCGGCGGCACUUCGACUGGCUGUGUCGUCUCUGCAUUGGUGGUGUCGGGCUCUGUCGCUGCCAUUACCUCGUCGUCAACCUCUCUCUGUGCCACUAGUGCGGCGCUGACCACCUGGUUCGUUGCCGCUAGGUAUAGCAGCAACGACUCCUGUGGCCUAGGCGCAACUAGUAUUGGCGCGGAGGAGAGGUACUUCUUCAAAUCUUGCAAUGCUGCUUCGGCUUCUGGCGUCCACUCCAUCGGGCCCGCCUUUUUCAGGAUCUUGAAAAAUGGAAGGGCGUGCUCGGUAGACUUGGAAAUGAAUCUGCCCAUGGCGGCGAUGCAACCAGCAAGCCGACGCACAUCCUUGAUUCGCUUGGGUGCUUCAAUCUGCUCUAUAGCUUUGAUCUUGUCCGGAUUGGCCUCUAUCCCACGCUGUGACACAAAGAACCCGAGAAGCUGGCCGGACGGGACGCCAAAGACGCACUUCUCAGGGUUCAGCUUGAGAUUGAUCUUGCGCAGGUUUGCAAAUGUUUCUUGCAAAUCCGGUAUGAGGGUUGCCCUGUCCUUGGUUUUGACCACUAUGUCAUCCAUAUAAGGUUCCAUAUUUCUAUGGAGCUGGGGUUCAAAACCAAUCUGGACCGCCCUUGCAAACGUCGAACUAGCACUCUUCAGCCCGAAAGGCAUCCGCAUGAAACAGCACGUACCACAUGGGGUGAUGAAUGUUGUUUUCUCUUGUCAUGAAGAUCUGGUGGUAGCCGGAGUAGGCAUCAAGGAAUGACAAUAGAUCACACCCAGCUGUGGAGUCAACAAUCUGGUCGAUGCGCGACAACGGUAAGGGGUCCUUAGGACAAGCCUUAUUGAUAUCUGUGUAAUCAAUACACAACCUCCACUUCCCAUUAGCCUUGCGCACUACGACCGGAUUGGCCAACCACGUUGGAUGGAGCACUCCUCUUACCAAACCCGCUGCUUCCAGUUUCCGGAUCUCCUCUGUGGUGAACUCUUGUCGUUCCAAAGAUUGCUUUCUGACCUUCUGCUUGACGGGCCGCGCAUGAGGACAGAUAGCAAGGUGGUGCUCAAUCACCUCCCUGGGAACGCCGGGGAUGUCGGAAGCUUGCCAUGCAAAUACAUCGACAUUCGCCCACAGGAAGGUGACGAGCGCGUCUUCCUAUUUAUUGUCAAGGGUGGAGCUUAUGGUGAAAGCCCCUUCCGUGCCGUCCUCAUUGACAGAAACCUUCUUGGUUCCCGGCGGUAUGGCCCUGGCUUCUUGUUUCCGCCGGUGGAGCUCUCUGGCACGUCCUCGACGGGAGCGCUACACUCCGAAGAGGUGUGCUUGCCGGAGUGGGUGUCCGAGGUCUCACCGGUCUUCUUCUUCUUCUUCUUCUUCUUCUUCCCUCCCGGGGUCCCAGCGGCAGGAGCAAGUGCCCUAGUGGCGGCAGUUGCUGCAACUGCUUGCUGGUAUAGUUGGUCAGCGCAAAUCAGCGCAUCUUUCUUAUCGGAGGGGAUGGUGAUGAUCGUCACAGGUCCUGGCAUCUUCAGGGUGUUGUAGGCAUAGUGUGACGCCGCCAUGAACUUGGCCAGCGCUGGGCGGCCAAGGAUCCCGUUGUAGGGCAAGGGGAUCUUGGCAACAUCAAACACGAUCCUCUCCGUCCUGUAGUUCAGAUCGCUUCCAAAAGUCACGGGCAGCGUGACCUUUCCCUUAGGUUGGCUUCUUCCCGGGUUGACCCCCUGAAACAUGGCCGUCUCUUCGAGGUCUCCAUCAGGAAUCUGUAGUUUCUCGAUCACGGCAGGCGAGAUCAAGUUCAGACCAGCCCCGCCAUCGACUAGCAUCUUUGUCACCUUGAGGUUGCGUAUUGUUGGUGAAACCAACAAUGGCAAGCACCCGACCGCAGUAGUGCGAUCAGGGUGAUCCUCAGUGUCAAAAAUGAUAGGUGUGCUGGACCACUUCAGCGGCCUUUGGGCAUCAAACGACGACUCUGCCGCUGUAAUCUCUCGCGCCCACUGUUUAAGCUGGCGGUGAGAAGUAUGCAGCGAGGCGCCACCGUCGACGCACAUGGCCUCUGUAGCUUUCUGAAACUCUUGAUCGCCGGAUUCAUCGUCCUCUUCGUGAUCGUCAUCUUCUAGUUUUUUGUCACGGCCCCGGCGGGCCUCUCCUGUUGUUUAUCCUUGCCACGACGGCCCGCCUAGCCGUCAUGCUUCUUGCCGGACCCCUCAGCACCGUCUCGGCCCUUCUCCUUGUCCCGCCUCUCAUAUUCAGCCCUCUGCUUCUCAGCGAGGAGCUCAACCUGUCGGCAGUCUUGGAGAGCAUGGCCUUUGGUGCGAUGGAUCUUGCAGUAUCGCUUGUCGGAAUUUCCUGGCUUAUCGGCAAUCGCCAAGGCCCGGCAGGCGACACAUCCGGCAAUUUCCUUGCCGGGGUCGUUUGCCUUGGUUUUCUUGGUGGAGCCGGUGUCACCAGAUCCCUCGACGGCAAGCACGGCUUUACCUUUGCGCUUCCUGUUGCGGCACCGGCCCUUCUUCGCCGGGGCGGCAGUAUCUUCAUCUGAGGAGUCGGUUUCCAUGCCGGCGUCCUCGCCGGGGUACUUCCUUCCCUCUUCAGCCCGGGCACAUCUGUCAGCAAGAACAUAUAGUUCUGCUACAUCUUUCACCUUGUUCAUUGCCAGCUCUUCGCGCAUCUUGCGGUUACGCACGUUGAGGGAGUCCUGGAUUAGGGGGUGUUCGGAUAGCCGAACUAUACCUUCAGCCGGACUCCUGGACUAUGAAGAUACAAGAUUGAAGACUCCGUCCCAUGUCUGGAAGGGACUUUACUUGGCGUGGAAGGCAAGCUUAGCGAUACGUUCAGAUCUCCUACCAUUGUAACCGACUUUAUGUAACCCUAGCCCUCUCCGGUGUCUAUAUAAACCGGAGGGUUUUAGUCCGUAGGACAACAUACACAUCAACAAUCAUACCAUAGGCUAGCUUCUAGGGUUUAGCCUCUCUGAUCUCGUGGUAGAUCUACUCUUGUACUACCUAUAUCAUCAAUAUUAAUCAAGCAAGACGUAGGGUUUUACCUCCAUCGAGAGGGCCCGAACCUUGGUAAAACUUUGUGUCCCUUGCCUCCUGUUACCAUCCGGCCUAGACGCACAGUUCGGGACCCCCUACCUGAGAUCCGCCGGUUUUGACACCGACACACGUUCUGAUGGAACGCGCUGAUGAUGGCGGUAGGGUGAACAUCAGGGAUAUUGUACUGUAUCCGGCUGAACCUCUGUAUAUACUUGCGGAGACUCUCGCCUCCCUUCUGGGGAAUGACGUGCAGGUCGCUCGCUUGGCCAUGGGCUUGGUGGCCUCCAGUAAAGGCGCCCACAAACUCAUGGCACAAAUCCGACCAGGAGGAAAUAGAGUCCACCAGCAAGUGCAUCAACCAUGACAUGGCGUUGGGUUUAAGAGCCAACGGAAAGUAAUUCGCAAGCACCUUAUCGUCGCGGGCUCCGGUAGCUUGCAUCGCAAUGGUGUAGAUGCUAAGGAACUCGGACGGGUGGGUCUUGCCGCUGUACUUUUCGCCCACGUCAGGUUUGAAGGUGCGGUGAGCGGGCCACUGGAACUGCCGCAGCUCACGGGUAAAAGCCGGACAACCUACCUCGUAAGGUAGGCCUCCAGGGCUCUCUGGUGCCGGGUGGUUCACAGCAGGCCCUGCUCGCCUGUCUGACUGGUGGCGCGCUCCGCGCCGGCGCUCGAUAGUGGUUCGAGCGUCUUCAUGUUCUCGUUCCCGAAGGACUUGGCGCUGGUCAUAGUGGGUCCGCGGGUCGGACGAUGCUAUGGAGAUUUCGUCGCCCGUAACGUCACGACGGGCUGGCGUCCGCGGUACCGGGCGAGGAGGAGGCGAGUGCAUCGUGGUCGCGGUGCCGCCGGCCUUCCUGCCACUGGUGCGUGGGACUCCGUCGGAGCGUCGACCCGGGGGCUCCACCGGACUCGGUUCGUCUUUGUUGGCCACCGCAACAAGGCUUCGGAUAGUGGCUCUCUAUUUGUCGAGUUUCCCCGUAGUGGGAGGAAAAUCGAGGAGCAACUGUGCGCGCGCCAGGGCUUCUGCUGGCGUUGGUGGCAGCGAAACCUGCACGGAUCGUGAUGCGCUUCGACUUCUGACCAUGUCAGAAGGAGCUCUAUCAUGACCCCGCGGUUGCAUGCCAUCUUCACCAGCGCCUCAGUGAGCGGCAGGUCUUCUACCUCCCGGGAGUGGCGCUCGGGGCUCUUCCCGCGGCGACACCCGGGGUCUUCGGCGUGAUUACGCCGUUCGUCGCGCGCCGCUUGAGAGGAGCGCGCCGUCGGCGCCGGCGUGGGAGUCUUGGAGGCCCUCGCAUCACCUUCGGGCGGGGUGGCAGCGAUCUUGGAAGGCCCCACGCCACCCGCGGAGGGCCUGGCUCCGUCUUUGGAUUUGGCGGCGUGCGGCCCGUUACCAGGCGCACUAACAUCGCCGCCUCCCAAACUCCAGCUGCUGGGACGGUGUUGUUGUUCGCGAACGGCGCCCCGGGUCCUUUCUGCGACCGGUCCGCUGCUCGCCCGCGUCGGGACGGGAUGUCCGGCUUCCGACGGGCCAACCGCCACCGUCGUCUUCUUCUUGGGAACCAUGUCGAUGAAGAAGCGUCAAACUAACUGCUAAAGCCGAUUCUCACAACUGCGCCCCUACCUGGCGCGCCAAAGAUGUCGGUGGGAACGACACCUAUGGGAUCACAAGAAUCCCUACUACGGUUACGGGGCGCGGGGUCGUGAGAAGAGCGGAUCAAACAGAUAGCACACGGUUCAUUUAUCCAGGUUCAGGCCGCGAGGAUGCGUAAAACCCUACUCCUGCUUUGGUGGAUUGUAUAUCUGUGUUCUUGAGCUAGCUAUGGGGCGUGAGGAGCUCCAAAAAGCUGAAUCCUCCUCCUGGUCGCCUCGGGCCUCCUUUUAUAGGAAAGGGGUUGCCACAGUGGCACACAGGAGGUGGAAAGGUUACAGUGAUGCGAGGUUAUCCCUUGCAUUACAUGACAAGGCGCAUUUAAUGCGUCUUGCCCAGGUGUCCUUGCUUUAUCGGGGACGGGGGAGAGCCCUGUCUCGUCCGUCGCCGCUCCCUCUCGUGUCGACACGCGCCUUGGCAGUGCCCGCGGUGCCAUGUAGGCAGGCAGGCAGCUGAGGUGGCGCAGUGGCAGGUCUCCACGAAGAUCCGCAUGCCGCCACGCAGGUGCCUGCCCAGCUGGUUGGGUCGGCAGCUACAUGCGAACGGCGGUGGAGGUUUGACUGGCGUGGGCCUGAUGGUGACCCCACGGGUGUUCUUGGCAAGGGCCUUGCCGGGGCCCCGGCAAGGGUCUUGCCAUGGCGCCUGCUGUCAUCCCCGACAAGGCUCUUGCCGGGGGCCUUGUGGUCCUCCUUGGCUGGGAUCCCGCCAAGGAUCAUCAUCUUCUAAAGGGUGUAUCUGAUCUUUAAUGCCUUCACAAAGAUCUGCAUGCCACCACGGGGAUGUCUCCCGAAUCCUUGCCCCAUGGGGGCAGUGGACUCAAGGGUGACUCACUCCGUAGGUGUGGGGCGAGCUGCCACAGCAAGGGUCUUGCCGGAGGGGGGGGGGGUCCGCUUCGUCCCCUUUGCUCUUUGUGGUCUUGGUCUUGGUGUCGUUCUGCUUCUCCUGAGCUUCGGCCUUACCUUGGCUCACCUCCCUUGCCUUGCUCAGUGUGGUGGUGCCCGUGGCUCAGACUGCCCGUGCACAGUUAUAGGGGUACAAAAAGUGUACCCCUCUUUUUGUACACCGACACCAAGAUAAACACGGGAACCCCUAGGUGGUCUCUAAUAAUAAUAUCCGCUUUCUACUAUCCAUACGCAGCUUGCCCUUGGAUAGGACAUUUUGAAUAGUCCUACUUUCUGCUUAUUGCACUACCUGUACCAGUACGCCUCGACGUAUUAUUUAAAUAACAAUGCAUAGCAUUAGUAUAUUAUUGCAUUAUUCAUUCCUUUUUUCCCUUUAUGUCCAUUCAUGACAAUCCGCACCCGUACGUUCUGGUACGGUCAGUAUGCCAGGGGCUUUCGUUUACCCCAUAAUACGGUGCAAGAAGUCCGAACACUUUCGACAGUGCGGCACCCCAAACUUAUAGCAUUAUAUGCAUCAACUCCGAAUCAUGUCUUUGGUCAAAUGUUGGGUUUGCCCGGCUUCCUUGCUUUGGUACCUUACGUACCGCUAUAUCGGCUAAGGUAGCGGUGGGAGAACUACUGCGAUUGCAUCCCGGUUCUUCUGGACGAGCGCCUUAGUAGAGAAAGCCGAAAACCGACUGUCAUGAUAAGGCGUGAGACUGGUCGCUGUUCGAGAGGUCUCAAGUCCUUAAAGACUUUUUCCACUUCGGGUGAGGAGCCGGCCUUGUCCGGCUUAGGCGAGUAUAGCGCCCCAAAUUCGGCCUUCCGAACACUAGGGGCUUCGCCAAAGUUUAAAAUUGUAGACUUCUAUGGCUAAGUGAGAGUGAUAAAGCCUUGUAGUCUGAUUGCCUGGUUCAUUGCACUGAACACCUCCCUUGAAGGACCCAAAAUUGGGGUAAAGAGUGCUCAUGUUUAUCCCGAACACCCUAGUACUAGCUACAUGGGGGCAGAAGCCGACGACUGACCAACUCUCAGAUAUUAUAAACGGCCGCACAGAAGGUAACAUUUUAAAUGAAAAAAGCGUUGCAUAGCGCAGAUGAACUUGGUUCACAUUACAGGAUCACACAAGCAUGUUCAUUCAAAAAUUACAUCCCUGGCACAUUCAUCCGCCACAAGGCGAGAACCCUUCAGGACACUCUCAUAGUACAUCUCGGGGUGGCGAUGCUCCUUGCCCUCCGGUGGCCCCUCCUUCACCAGCUUCACAACGUCCAGCUUCGCCCAGUGCACCUUCGCCCGGGCAAAAGCCAUGUGCGCACCCUCGAUGCAGGCUGGCCGCUUUAUGACUUCAAGCCGUGGGCAGGCCUCCACAAGCCGCCUCACCAGACCGAAGUAGCUGCCGGACUGGGGCUCGCCAGGACACAUCCGGACUAUAAGGUCCCUCAUGGCCUGUUCGGCCGCCUUGUGAACCUCGACCAAUUGCUUCAGCUGGUCGCUCAAGGGCAUCAGGUGUUCGGUCCCAGUAUACUGAGACCAGAACAACUUCUCCAUCGAUCUCCCCUCCUCAGCUCGGUAAAACUCCGCGGCAUCCAGUACACUGCGGGGAAGAUCCGCGAACGCUCCUGGAGAGCUCCGAACUCGGGUAAGAAAAAGGAAAGUUUCCUUCACAUGCUUGCUUUGCAUAAUGAAUGGCUUACCCGCUGCUAUCUUCUUCACCACAUCAAUUUCCUGGAGGGCCUUGUGGGCUUCAGCCUUGGCGCUCUGGGCGCUUUCAAGCGCCUGUGCGAGCUCGGACUCUCGCGUCUUAGAGUCGAGCUCCAAGGACUCGUGUUUUUUGGCAAGAGCCUCGACCUCUUGCUGCACCUCGCCCACUUGGGCUUCUUGCUUCUCCUGCUCGAUGUGUUCCUUGGCCACUUUGUCUUCGGCCUCGGAUAGUGCCUUCUUCAGGGUCGCAACUUCGGUUGUGGCCCCUGGGAAAUUCAUGAUGAUCCUAUUACUUUACACCUGAACUUCUUUUAUUUCAUAUAAGCAAGGUAUUGCUUACCUUUGCUCUCCUCGACCUGCCUCUUGGUAAGGCCAAGCUCAUUCUCGGACCGCUCCAGGUCCUGCUUCAGCGCAGAGACCUCCGCAGUACGUGCGGCAGCGGCCAGCAGCGAAGCCUGCACAUACACAUAGAUUUAUUCUGAUUAGACUCCUGAGUCAUCAUUUGAUCCUCUAUUCAGCCUUUCUACUCGAACGCCGAAUAGAGCAUCAGGGGCUACUAUCUAUGCGGUAAUAUUUUCUUAUAUUUUGAUUGCUUACCUCAAAGCCUAUUAGGAGGUUGGCGCAAGCUUCGGUCAGCCCGUUUUUGGCGGACUGAACCUUCUCGAUCACCGCACUCAUGAUAGUGCGGUGCUCUUCGUCGAUGGAAGCGCUGUGAAGCGCUUUCAGCAAGUUGUCCGGUGCCUCUGGAUGGACAGAGGACACCGGCACGGGUGGUUGGCCCCCCUUAACAGGGGACCGCCUGCCGGAGUCCGGAACCAUCGAAGGUUCCGGCGCAGUGUUUGGCCGGGGCCGAACUCGAAGCCCGUAGGAGCCUCGCUCCCUUGGUACCCAGGGUCCGGGAGGUCGCCUCGAGACGCCUCCAGGACCACCUCCCCUUGGAUCGGUGCCUUUUGAGACAACACCUCGGCAUUGUCCAUAGGGCGAGGGGUGGAGGCGAUCGGAAGAGAACCGUUGUUCAUAUCCGAUGAGUCCAACGAACCGCUCGACGAAGAUAGGUCGAGAUGAGCUCGGGACAGACUGCAUAAUCUUGUUCGGCAUGAGGAGAAGCAGUGCUGUAAAACAUACCAUGAAUUACUAUGGUGUCUGGAUACUUACGACUUUGCCAGGGGCUUGACCCUGGGUAGCCACUCGUCGCUGCUGUAGGCGGCCGUCGUGGAGCAGUCCGAAGGGAGGGUCCUGCCCUUCUUGGACCCUUCGGCCUCCUCGGUUGGAUCGGCCUUCCUUUUCUUGUCUCCCCCGGCUGGGGGGGAGAACUUUCCUCUUCCUCCUCCUCGUUUUCAUGGGAGGAGGGCGCGUCGGAGUUAUCAAACGAUGAGUCCGAUACAACCUUGCGCCGGAGACCCUUUCGGGUCCCCGCAGCCUUCUUCUUGGCCUUCUUCACCGGCACCUUGUAAGGUGCCGGAACCAGCAUCUCCAUCAGGAGAGCAUCGGCAGGAUCUUCCGGCAGGGGGGCGGGGCAAUCGAUCUGCUCCGCUAUCUUCACCCAGUCCUGUUAAAGGCAUGGAAGGCUUAGAUCCCGCACAUGAUUAAACUGGGGCAAAUAGAUACCCUAUGAAAUAUAAAAACUUACCAGAUUAGCACGACGCUUUGCCCUGAGUCCGCGGUCCUCGGUGAGGGAAGGAGGUACCUUGGCGCCCUUAAACAGCACCCUCCAGACGUCCUUGUGCGUCGUGCCAUAGAGCUCUCACAGCGUCUGGUGCUUGGCCGGGUUGAACUCCCACAAGUUGAAUGCCCGUUGUUGACACGGGAGAAUCCGGCGGAAGAGCAUGACCUGGACCACGUUGACGAGCUUAAUUUUCUUGCCCAUCAUGUUCUUGAUGCAGGUCUGGAGUCCGGCCAGCUCUACCGAGGAACCCCAGGACAGGCCAUUCUCUUUCCAGGAGGUGAGCUGUGUGAGGAUCCUGGAUCGGAAUUCGGGGACCACCACCCAAUUGGUGUCGCACGGCUCGGUGAUGUAGAACCACCCCGAUUGCCAACCCUUUAUGGUCUCCACAUAGGAGCCUUCAAGCCAGGUGACAUUAGGCAUCUUGCCCACCAUGGCGCCUCCGCACUCCGCUUGCUGUCCGACCACCACCUUCGGUUUGACAUUGAAGGUCCUCAGCCAUAGGCCAAAAUGGGGCUUGAUGCGGAGGAAGGCCUCGCACACGACGAUAAACGCCAAGAUGUUGAGGAUGAAAUUGGGGGCCAGAUCAUGAAAAUCCAGCCCGUAGUAGGACAUGAGCCCGCGGACAAACGGGUGGAGGGGAAAUCCCAGUCCACGGAUAAAGUGGGUAAGAAAAACUACCCUCUCAUGGGGUUCAAGCGUUGGGAUGAUCUGCCCCGCAUCUGGUAGCCGGUGCGCGAUAUCCGCGGCCAGAUAUCCGGCUGUUGGGGAUCUUAGCAGAAAUUUAAAAUUUUCUACGCAUCACCAAGAUCAAUCUAUGGAGUAAUCUAGAAACGAGGGGAAGGGGAGUGCAUCUACAUACCCUUGUAGAUCGCUAAGCGGAAGCGUUGCAAGAACACGGAUGAAGGAGUCGUACUCGUAGCGAUUCAGAUCGCGGUUGAUUCCGAUCUAAGCGCCGAACAACGGCGCCUCCACGUUCAACACACGUGCAGCCCGGUGACCUCUCCUACGCCUUGAUCCAGCAAGGGGAGAAGGAGAGGUUGGGAAGACUCCGUCCAGCAGCAGCACGACGGCGUGGUGGUGGUGGAGGAGCACGGAACUCCAGCACGGCUUCGCCAAGCACUACGAGAGACGAGGAGGGAGAGAGGUAGGGCUGCACCAACAGGGGAAGAACUUCGUGUGUUGGGCUUCCCCUUUGCCUCCACUAUAUAUAGGGGGAGAGGGAGGGCUGCGCACCCACCUAGGGUUUCUACCCUAGGGGUGGCGGCAGCCCCAAUCCCCAUCUGGGGUGGCGGCCAAGUGGGGGGGAGAGGGAGGCGCACUAGGCAUGGGCCUUAGGGCCCAUCUGCCCUUAGGGUUUGCUCCCCUCUUCUCUCUAGGCACAUGGGCCUUGGUGGGGAGGCGCCCCAGCCCACCUAGGGGCUGGUCCCUUCUCACACUUGGCCCAUGUAUGCCUCCGGGGCCCGUGGCCCCUCCCGGUGGACCCCCUGUCAGGACCCCGAUUCCAAGUCACAUCGAUCUAGCCGGUAACACCUCAUAUCACUUUGCGGCCUCAUGCACGGUAUCCCACGGGUGUCGCCUUACCAUGGCCCGGGACCGUUUGCGCCUUUUGGCUCACGUAUAUGAUUGUGUCGCUAGCAUCCAUAUGACAGAGAACCCGGGACGACAUGGCUAGUCGUGAACCCAAAGCGGCACAGACCUAUGGAGACAGGCAUACAUGAAUCACAUUGAGCAUGUCGGUCAUCAGCGAGUGAUUCCGGGCUGUAGCACUGGGCUAACAGGACUCCGGGGGACCCGGGCUGUAGCAGGCUAGGCAGGACUCCGGAAGUCACCGCGUGACAUUUCCCCGAAGGGACAGACAUAGGAACUAAGUGAAACACAUGUCGGCCAGUCAAGUGUCCUGAACAGUAGUGCCGGGCUAGCAGGACUCCGGUGAACCGGGCUGUAGCGGACUACUAUGGCUCGAGGAACACUAGACUACAUUUCCCUAUAAGAAAGGCUGCCAAGGAUAAACAACUAGAUUGUCGGAUCCCACUCAUACCAAGCAUUUCAAUCAUACACACAAUAUGCCCGAUAUGAGUACAUACAACAUGGCAUCACAACAAAACUCUACAACUCAAGUACUUUAUUUAAAAGGCUCCAGGGAGCCAUACAUAACAUGUUCAUACAGAUAGGGGUCACAUGACCCGACACUCAAGUCAUACAAUCAUACAAGCACAUGCGGAAGCAACCGGUCUGAGUACAGACACUAGAAAGAAAGAAGGCUUCUCGAAGCCUGUCUAUCUACAUAGGGCCCUCCAUGGCCAGGAUCACCACCUGGGUGGCUAGUCACUCGUCGACGUCAAGGUCUACAUAAAACCCAUCGGAGGGGCCAGUUUUGUCGUCUGAAAACAAUAAAUAAGCAAACAUGAGUACAAGGUACUCAGCAAGUCUUACAUCAGAACCUAAUAUACAUGCUCAUUCUCAAGAAGGUGGUGGGGUUAUUGCAGCAAGCCAGCUUUGACUCUUGGCUAAGCUAUCCUACGAAACUUCACUAGUAAAAUAGUUUUUGCACACGAGUCCACUACUCACCAACACAAUACUCCACCGUGGAUCCUCCCUCGUCAUCCUACGAGAGGGCCAUCCUCGGUACUCACACUUAUCUUGAGUCUUUUAGUAGUAUCCAUUAACUUGUCUAUGAACUGUAUAGGCAACCAAGUAGUCCUUGACCUAGAAAAUUGUGCACCAAUUUUGCCAGAGGUUCUAACCCAAGACAAAGAGGGUGAACUUUUUAGAAGGGCAUUUCAGGUUCAUUGAAAAUAAUUUUAGUAAACCCUAGUUGUUUCCAGGGGGGUGUUGGGGGUUUCUGCCUUCCCCAUUUCAAAUUUAAGAGAAAUUUAAACAUGAUGCACACUCUAAUGCUUGAACUAGCUAGGGUGUGACAACUCACCCCCACUCAAAAGAAUCUCGUCCCGAGAUUUAGGAUCCUCUGGAAAGAAGGUGGGGUACUCGAGUCGAAGACGAUCCUCCCUUUCCCAAGUGGCUUCUUUCUCGGAAUGAUGUGACCAUUGAACCUUGAGAAACUUGAUAUUAUGACGUCGAGUGGUACACUCGGCUUGAUCAAGGAUACGAACGGGAUAUUCCCGAUAUGAGAGGUUAUCUUGUAGAUCAAGUGUUUCGUGGUCCACUCCACGGAUAGGAUCCGCGAAGCAACGCCUGAGUUGUGAAACAUGGAAGACAUCGUGAACUCUGGAAAGAUGCGGAGGUAGUUCCAAUUGGUAGGCAACUUCUCCUCGUUUGGCAAGAAUGCGAAAGGGUCCAAUGUAAUGAGGAGCCAAUUUGCCUUUGAUACCGAAACGAUGGGUUCCCUUUAACGGGGUAACCCGAAGGUAAGCCUUCUCGUCGACUUCAUAAGUCAUAGGCUUAUGUUUACGAUCAUAUUGACUCUUUUGACGAGAUUGGGCUGUUUUCAAUUUCUCACGAAUAACGCGAACCUGCUCUUCUGCUUCCUGAAUCAUAUCCGGGCCAAAGAGUUGUCUUUCCCCGGUUUCUGACCAGUUAAGAGGCGUUCGACAUUUUCGUCCAUAGAGAACUUCGAAAGGAGCCUUGCCCAAGCUGGCUUGAUAACUAUUGUUAUAAGCAAACUCCGCGAAUGGAAGGCAUUUCUCCCAACUCAUUCCGAACGAGAUGACAGAAGCUCGGAGCAUAUCUUCCAGAAUUUGAUUGACUCGCUCUACCUGACCACUUGAUUGAGGAUGGAAGGCGGUACUAAAAGAGAGACGAAUUCCCAUAGCAUUUUGGAAACUUUCCCAAAAUCGAGAGGUGAAGAGACUCCCACGGUCUGAGUUAAUUUCCAACGGAACACCAUGAAGAGACACUAUUCGGGAGAUGUAUAAAUUGGCUAGCUGGCUAGCGGUGAUACUCUCACGAACAGGUAGGAAAUGGGCUACUUUGGAAAGUCGGUCGAUCACGACGAAGAUGGCAUUAUUCCUCUCUUGGUCCUGGGAAACCCAGUGAUGAAAUCCAUACUGAUUUUAUCCCAUUUCCACUCGGAAUAGCCAAAGGUUGAAGGAUGCCAGCAGGCGUUGAUGCUCUGCUUUAACACGAGGACAAACGUCGCAAUUAGCAAUGUAUUGAGCGAUUUCUCUCUUCAUCCUAGUCCACCAAAACCUUUGGCGUAGGUCUUGAUACAUUUUAGUACUACCGGGAUGAAUGGUGAGAGGGGAUUCAUGAGCUUCCUUAAGGAUCAUCUGGCGUAGAUGUUGUUUCUUGGGAACCACCAAACGGUUCUUGAAGAAGACAGCACCUCGCUCAUCCAUGGAGAAACAUUUAGCAACUCCACUAGCGAUGUUUUCCCUAAUUCGGGAUAUGCCCUUAUCAUACCGCUGGCGGUUAUGAUUUGAUCCAUAAGGUUAGGUUUCACUACCAGGGUGGAUAGAAAACCUCGAGGACAAUGUGAAGAUUAAGCUUACGAAAUUCCUCAUGGAGAAGUGGUUGACUUUGUUAUAACAUCAGGUUAUUACAAUAGGACUUACGGCUUAGCGCAUCAGCCAUGACAUUGGCUUUGCCCGGGGUGUAAGUUAUUCCUAAAUCGUAAUCCGAGAUCAACUCAACCCAACGUCUUUGCCUGAGAUUCAAAUCUGGUUGGGUGAAGAUAUAUUUCAAACUUUGGUGAUCGGUGAAGAUCUCGCAACGAUUACCGAGAAGGUAAUGUCGCCAUGUUUUAAGUGCAUGGACUACAGCUGCAAGCUCUAGAUCAUGUGUGGGAUAAUUUUCCUCAUGUGGGUGUAAUUGCCGUGAAGCAUAGGCAAUUACCUGACGAUCUUGCAUGAGUAUGCAACCUAGUCCUUGUCGCGAGGCGUCGCAAUAGAUAAUAAAGUCCUUGGAGAAAUCUGGUGGUACCAGUACGGGAGCAGAUGUCAGGCGUCUUUUCAGUUCCUGAAAAAUGAACUCGCACUGUGGAGUCCACUCGAACUUUUUAUCUUUCUUGAGGAGUUCAGUUAGAGGUUUAGCAACCUUGGAGAAAUUCUCAACGAAGCGGCGGCAAUAGCUCGCUAAGCCAAGGAAGCUCCGAACUUGCUUAACCGUCUCAGGUGGAGUCCAAUCAAGGACGGCUUGAACUCGCUCGGGAUUGACAACAAUACCCUUACCAGAGAUUACAUGGCCUAGAUAGGUCACUUCUGGCAACCAAAAUUCACACUUGGAGAAUUUGGCAUAAAGGCGAUGCUCUCGGAGUUUCAUCAAUACCAGCCUUAGAUGUUCGGCAUGUUCCUCUUCGUUCUUGGAGUAGAUGAGUAUGUCAUCGAGGUAUACUACGACGAAUUUAUCCAAAUACUCCAUGAAGACCGAGUUCAUUAACCGGGAGAAGGUGGCUGGGGCAUUGGUUAAACCGAAGGACAUAACGGUGUACUCGUAUUGGCCAUAACGAGUAACAAAGGCCGUUUUGGGAAUGUCCCCGUUUCUGAUUUUGAUUUGAUGGUAGCCCAACCUCAAAUCCAUCUUGGAGAAGGCUGAGGAUCUAGCGAGCUGAUCAUACAGAUCGUUGAUCCUGGGAAGCGGGUAUUUGUUCUUGAUGGUGACCAAAUUGACAGGUCGAUAAUCCACAACCAUUCGAUCCAUUCCAUCCUUCUUCUUGACGAAGAGGACGGGGCAAGCCCAAGGAGAGGAACUAGGAUGGAUGAAACCCUUUUUCAAGGACUCAUCGAGUUGGUUCUUAAGCUCGGCUAGUUCUAAGGGUGCCAUCUUGUAGGGUCUUCUAGAAAUUGGAACGGUUCCUGGAACAAGGUCUAUCACAAACUCAACAUCCCUGUCAGGUGGAACACCUGGCAGUUCUUCUGGAAAGACAUCCGGAAAGUCUCAGACUACCGGAACAUCCUCAAGGUCUGGAAGGGGGUUGGCAUUUAAGGAGUAAAGCUGGCGCUUGGCCACUCGAGUUAAGACAUUGACUGUCUUGCCCGAUGGGUGAGUAAGUUGAACGGUUCUAGUGGCACAAUCAAUCUUAGCAUAAUGGGCUGACAUCCAGUCCAUACCCAAGAUGAUGUUUAUGUCCAAGGACUUGAGAGCUAUUAAGGAUGCAAGGAAGACAAGUCUAUCGACAAGAAUUUCAUUCCCAUGGCUUACUCUAGAAGUUUGCCAUUUGGAACCCGGAGUUUGAAUUACCAUGGAAGUGGGCAUAUCACAGAAUGUCGUGUUAUGCAAUCGAGCAUAGUUCUCGGAUAUGAAUGAAUGAGAUGCUCCAGUAUCGAAAAGAACAGAUGCCGGAUGGCAGUUAACAAGGAGCGUACCAAGGACGACGUUAGGAUCCUCAUGAGCCUCCUCAACUGAAACAUAGUUGACAUGGCCACGGGCAGUGUUGACCGGCUUGGCGUAGAAUGUCUUUCCCGCGGGCUUACCACGGCCAACAGACUUUCCAGUUUGGAUGGGGUUGUUGUUCUGGGGACACUCUCGGCUAUAGUGACCCGGCUCUCCACACUUAAAGCAUGUCACCACAUUGGGGCGUGGAGCAGCAUUAGCAGCGGGGCCACCAUAGGGCUUGGGCGAUGCAAAUUGCUGGUUGGGACGAGGCGCCUCAAAGGAUGGCCUCAGGAUGAACCUGGGUGGCAGUGCCGUGCUUGGAAUCCACACCCGGUGCUUCUGAGCUCCAGAGCCGGAUGAAGAGCCAAAAUCACAGGAGUGCUUGCGUGAAGCGUCAUAAUCAGUCUGGCCUGUCUCAGCACUGAUGGCUUUAUUGACCAACUUCUGAAAGGAUGUGCACUCGUGCAGAUGGAGAUCGCGGCGAAGCUCAGGGCUAAGUCCCUUGUGGAACCUUGCCUGCUUCUUAGCGUCAGUAGAUACCUCUUCAGGGGCAUAACGUGCCAGAUUUCCAAAUUCACGACUAUAAGCAUCCACAGUCAGUCUUCCUUGGGUGAAGUUGCAGAACUCCUCCCUCUUGUGAUCCAUGAGACCUUCCGGAAUGUGAUGCUCACGGAAAGCCUCACUGAAUUCAGCCCAAGUAGUGAUUUGGCCGACCGGGCGCAUAGCUUCAAAAUUCUCCCACCAGAGGCUAGCAGGGCCUUCGAGAUGAUAGGCAGCAUAAGUAACUUUGUCGGCUUCGGCUACGUUGGCAGAACGUAGCUUGUGGGUGAUGCUGCUAAGCCAGUCAUCCGCGUCGAGGGGCUCGACGGAAUGGUUAAACUUUGGUGGGUACAACUUGAUAAAGUCAUUGAUUGACACCAAGUCAUUUCGUGGGUGGCGUGCAGUGUUCUGCUCAAUCCGCUCCAGCAGGCGGUUAGUCUCACGCUUGUUUCUUUCCGCCUCCAGCAUCACUUCGGCCAGAGAAGGCGGGUGAGGCAGAUUUUCACCCCUAGCUGCACUGGCUUCCCCCUGCUCCGAGGCAGCAGGGUUGUUGCGGGUGUUGACCAUCCUAGGAGAAAACAAGACAAUGGUUUAGAUAAGGAUGGCUCAAACUUAGCAAGGAGUGCAGAAUGUAAUGGAUAACACAGAAUGCAGAGAUGUUCAUCCGUAUGUCAUGGUAAUAUAAAACUGCCAUAUAUAUACCAACGGUCAUACACAUCAUACAUAGUUUAGUACAAGCCCAGGCUACAGUACAACUAUGAUGAAAGACAUUACAUCUCAUCGGAGGCAUUCCAAGCUCCUAUACAUUAUUUGUCUACACCUCCGGAAUUGACUACACGCCAAGUCAUAUUCCACAAGUCACGCAGGAUAGUGGAGAUACAACUAUUACAAUACUAGUGGUACUACUACUAACUCAGACAGCUCCGUAGUAGUCCUCAUAGAAGUCUCCUCCAUAGCCUGGAAGUUCAACAUGACCAUCCGGGAAUAGACGGUCCUGAGGAGCCUGUGGACCAUAGGGACUAGGAUGAGGUCUUGGACCAACAAACGGUGGCCUGCGGGGACCACGGGGUGGGGUAAUGCCUCCCACAUCACGCCAAUCCACCAUGUCUGGCAGAGCUGAUCACACAGGAUACAGAUCCCUUGUAUCCAUACAUCCAGCUUGCACCGCAGGUGCAAACUGAGUCAAUGUGGCCCAAUGAUCAGCAUGGGUAUUGAAAAGCUCCAGCCUCAAGGCCCGAUUCUCUCGGUCCUUAUCUUCGAGCAUCUCGGCAGUGGUGCGAGUUAAUGAGUCCUCCUGAGUGGAGUUAGCAUAGACAGCCUAAAGAUACCCUUGCGCUCCUGGAAGUGAAGCUGGCAUGUAACGGAAGUCGGUGUUCCGAAGCAGGCCAGUCCGGACUCGCAUGAUGGUCAUCAUGGAAUAGGCAGCAUCCUGCACAGCCAUCUCAACAGUAACCCCGAGUCCAUACGAACAGUGAAGGGGCUCGAUAGAUCCAGGAUAAGAAGGAAAUAUCCUAACGGUGCAGAAAUAUUGGCUUUGAUUGAAGUCUCGGAAUUGCUCUUCGACGGUGUAUUCGGGAUACCAACGGUAACCCGUCUCGAUCAUUACCCCGACUAACAUAGCAGUAUGACCGGGCACGUCGAGGCACCGGGUCAGGCGAACCACUUGGUUUUGAACACGGUUGGCCAUCUGAAAGCACAACCACAAUGCAAAGACAUCAGAAUUUCUAGGGAAAAUUGGACAGCAUAACAGCUGUAAAUGCUCAGAAAAAGAUUUGAGACAUCCACAACAGUUCGCAAUACCACUCAACAUCAUCAUACCAAGGUUCUGAUCCAAUUAGCAACAUACUAAGAAUAGUAGAAACUGAACUGGGACUUGUAACAACAAUCCUAUAAGCUACUACGGAUUAGUAACACGUGAACCUGAUAGAAGAAGAGAGCCUAGUCCUUAACCCACGUUGAAUGAGAAGAGAAUGACUCAGAUCAGAGACAUAGGGUAAAGGAGUAAAAGAGCCUUACGUUCCCUCCCACAAUCAAUUCCCCUACAUAUAACUAAAGCAUUUCUAGACUCGACAUCGACCAGUUUGGCUCAACGAACCUACAGGCAGUCCGGCUCUGAUACCAACGCUGUCAGGACCCCGAUUCCAAGUCACAUCGAUCUAGCCGGUAACACCUCAUAUCACUUUGCUGCCUCACGCACGGUAUCCCACGGGUGUCGCCUUACCAUGGCCCGGGACCGUUUGCGCCUUUUGGCUCACGUAUAUGAUAGUGUCGCUAGCAUCCAUAUGACAGAGAACCCGGGCCGACAUGGCUAGUCAUGAACCCAAAGCGGCAUAGACCUAUGGAGACAGGCAUACAUGAAUCACAUCGAGCAUGUCGGUCAUCAGCGAGUGAUUCCAGGCUGUAGCACUGGGCUAACAGGACUCCGGGGGACCCGGGCUGUAGCAGGCUAGGCAGGACUCCGUAAGUCACCGCGUGACAUUUCCCCGAAGGGACAGACAUAGGAACAAAGUGAAACACAUGCCGGCCAGUCAAGUGUCCUGAACAGUAGUGCUGGGCUAGCAGGACUUCGAUGAACCGGGCUGUAGCGGACUACUAUGGCUCGAGGAAUACUAGACUACAUUUCCCCAUAAGAAAGGCUGCCAAGGAUAAACAACUAGAUUGUCGGAUCCCACUCAUACCAAGCAUUUCAAUCAUACACACAAUAUGCCCGAUAUGAGUACAUACAACAUGGCAUCACAACAAAACUCUACAAUUCAAGUACUUUAUUUAAAAGGCUCCAGGGAGCCAUACAUAACAUGUUCAUACAGAUAGGGGUCACAUGACCCGACACUCAAGUCAUACAAUCAUACAAGCACAUGCGGAAGCAACCGGUCUGAGUACAGACACUAGAAAGAAAGAAGGCUUCUCGAAGCCUGUCUAUCUACAUAGGGCCCUCCAUGGCCAGGAUCACCACCUCGGUGGCUAGUCACUCGUCGACGUCAAGGUCUACAUAAAACCCAUCGGAGGGGGCAGUGUUGUCGUCUGAAAACAAUAAAUAAGCAAACAUGAGUACAAGGUACUCAGCAAGUCUUACAUCAAAACCUAAUAUACAUGCUCAUUCUUAGAAGGUGGUGGGGUUAUUGCAGCAAGCCAGCUUUGACUCUUGGCUAAGCUAUCCUAUGGAACUUCACCAGUAAAAUAGUUUUCGCACACGAGUCCACUACUCACCAACACAAUACUCCACCGUGGAUCCUCCCUCGUCAUCCUACGAGAGGGCCAUCCUCGGUACUCACACUUAUCUUGAGUCUUUUAGUAGUAUCCAUUAACUUGUCUAUGAACUGUAUAGGCAACCAAGUAGUCCUUUACCGCGGACGCGGCUAUUCGAUUAGUUUUAUACCCUGCAGGGGUGUACUUCGUCAUACACACUUUCACCACUUACCGCCGUUUACACGACAUGUACUCGGCAACCUUCAAGCGGAAGCCCAGCGAGGGUGUCGGCCACGGCCUACCUAAACACUUAAGUCUCUAGUCCAGGUUUAUCGCCUAUCCAGGUUCCAUCCGCAGGGAGUCCGGCCGAGGUUUCCACAUACGGCCCCGAACGACGUGAACAGGUUCCCGAGACACCAAACGGGUGACUCGGUACACCGUGCCACGGUGUAUCUACCGCAACAUAGCCUACCCCUAGGGUCAGCGCUACGCACGGCCGCCAACACAUAACCUACAAACACCAGAAACUAUUUGCAACUCCUGGACAGAGUACUAGGGUGAUUAAGAAGCCGAGAGGGUCAAUUAAGGAUCCCAAUGCAUGGUAGUAGCUGAAUCUUAAAUCACACAUACAGAUCUCAGUUCUUAGGGACGAUCUCAAUGAAACAACCCACCAUGUACUCCUACAUGGCCUCUCAUCGAUACCUUUGCCAAAACAUGUUCAACACAUCCCUCAUAUUACCGACAUAAGCAUUUCACUCUAGCCCAUCACCCAGAUGAACCAGACCUGACACAACUCUAAGCAUAGCAGGCAUAGCAAGGUAGGAAUCACAUACAUGGCUCAAUCAACUCCUACACAUGCUAGUGGGUUUCAUCUAGUUACUGUGGCAAUGACAGGUCAUGCAGAGGAUAAGGGUUCAACUACCGUAGCACACAGCAGUUUGAAUCGCGUUGUCUUAAUGCAAUAAACAAGAGCAGAAGCGAGAACAUGGGUUUGUAUCGGAAUGAUCAAUGGGUUGCUUGCUUGAUGGAGUGGUAGUGGGAUACUGCCCUUCAGUUGGAUACUCAUGAAUAUCCUCGGAGGCAGAACCUGCCACGAAGAACACAUCGGAACACAAUCAACACAUGACGAUGUGCAACAAUAUGAUGCAUGCUAUGACAUGGCAAUAUGAAUGUGUCUUGGCCUAAUGCAAGCUAUAACAGAAAGGAAUGUGCUUAUUUGAAUCAAAGAUUCAAUUAUUAGCUUAUUAAACAUGGCUUUAAUAGUGCAUUUCCUUAUUCUGCUUAAACAGCAAGGUAAACUUGUUUUGUCAUGCAUGAAACCAUUACAGAUGGAUAGAUUGAAUUUUUCUGAUCAUUUUUCAUAUAUAAAUCUUUGCAUUUGGAGCUAUGGUUGAUUUUCUAUGAUUUUUAGAAGUUUUGACUAUUUUCUGGAAUUUCCUGAAUAAAAGUAAAUCCAGAAAAUGCAUUACUGCGUCAGCAUUGCGUCAUGCUGACCUCAGCAGGUCAAAGGCGCCAGCCCAGGUCAAACCUGACUGGUGGGCCCCUUCUGUCAGCCUCUCAGCUAAUUAACAAGAUUAGAUUAACACUAAUUAGCUGUCAGUGGGGCCUGGGCCCACAUGUCAGUGACUGGUUUAAUUAAAAUUAGUUAAAACUAAUCCUAGAUUAGUUAGCAGACCGGCCCCACCUGUCAUAGACUCAGGGGGGUCUACCUGGGCCCACCCAGGAGUCAAACUGGGUCAAACUCGCCGGCGACUCGACGCUGGCGAGGCCCGAGACGGUGGUGUGGCUCGGAAAACGCCCACAAGGCACGGGCGAGGCUGUUCUUGGGCGUGUUGGAGAGCUCUUGUAGUCGCGCAUCUAGUGGUGGUGGAGGCCGGGCCUACGGUGGCCGGAGACGACGACGGCGAGCUUCAAGGCGGCGGCCGGAGUUCGACCAUGUGCGGGGUGUGGGCUGCGGCAUGCAAACGCAAAAACUAAGGCGCUAGCGAGGCACUACGCGAUGCGGCAAGCAUGUUGCAUAGCACGGGAGGACCAAAUGGUCACCGGAGCGACGCCGACGACAAGCUCGAGCGGAGAUGAGCUUCGGCCAUGGUGGAACUAUGGCCUAGAGGGUGCAAAUGCGUGGGAAAGAAGAUGGGAAAGGCGGCGGAGCUCACAGGGAGGUCGAUGAGCAGCUCAGUGGGCUCGGGGGCGACCGGAGCGAGGCGAAUCGAUUAAAGGUGUCCGACGGGUACCGAGGUUGAAGACGGCCCGAUGGCGGUGAUGCAGGGCCUCCGGCGAAGCGUGGAUCGGUGGGGAGGGCGAGGGCGUCGCGGCGGAGCUUCUGGACAUGUUAGAGAGGCGAGGGGGUGACGGAGGGCGCGACUACGGCGGUGAGACGGCGACAGGUGCGUCGGCCAUGGUGCGGGAGAGGGUGAGGGAGACGAGAGGAGAGUGAGCGAGGAUGAGAGGGGGACAUGGGGGUCGCGUGGCAUCCCUGGACGUCUCCGGGACGUCGGCAGAAGCAGGAGGUGGCCGGCGUGUGGCCGCGGGCGCCGGCCACGCGCUUCGCGUCCUCCUGGCGGGAGGUGGACGACGACUGGCAAGCCAGUCGGCUGGGCCAAGCCAGGUGGCUGGGCCAGCACAGGUAAGGCCCAGGUGGGCUCCCUCUCUCUCUUUUUUGAUUUGUUUCUAUUUUUUCUAUUUAACUGCAACUGUUGGGCUUUAAUUAAAAUACUAAAACGUUUCCAAAAAUCCUGAAAAUAAUUGUGGGCUCUGUUUAGAAUAUUUCCAACAGCAAACAUUUAUUUCCAGAAUUAUUUGAGCAUUUAAAUUAUUUUAUAGCAUUUAAAUGCCCAAAUUCAAAUACUUAUGAUUUAAUUCAAUGACCUUCUGUUGACCUAGAAAAUUGUGCACCAAUUUUGCCAGAGGUUCUAACCCAAGACAAAGAGGGUGAACUUUUUAGAAGGGCAUUUCAGGUUCAUUGAAAAUAAUUUUAGUAAACCCUAGUUGUUUCCAGGGGGUGUUGGGGAUUUCUGCCUUCCCCAUUUCAAAUUUAAGAGAAAUUUAAACAUGAUGCACACUGUAAUGCUUGAACUAGCUAGGGUGUGACACCCCCGGACCCCUCCGGUGGUCCUGGUACACUAUCGCUGAUGCCCGGGACACUUCCGGUGGCCAAAACCAUACUUCCUAUAUAUCAAUCUUUACCUCCGGACCAUUCCGGAACUCCUCGUGACGUCCGGGAUCUCAUCCGGGACUCCGAACAACAUUCGGUAACCGCGUACAUACUUUCCCUAUAACCCUAGCAUCAUCGAACCUUAAGCGUGUAGACCCUACGGGUUCGGGAGUCAUGCAGACAUGGCCGAGACAACUCUCCGGUCAAUAACCAAUAGCGGGAUCUGGAUACCCAUGUUGGCUCCCACAUGCUCCAUGAUGAUCUCAUCGGAUGAACCACGAUGCCAAGGAUUCAAUCAAUCCCGUAUACAAUUCCCUUUGUCUAUCAGUACGAUACUUGCCCGAGAUUCGAUCGUCGGUAUCCCGAUACCUUGUUCAAUCUCGUUACCGGCAAGUCUCUUUACUCGUUCCGUACCACAUCAUCCCGUGAUCAACUCCUUGAUCACAUUGUGCACAUUAUGAUGAUGUCCUACCGAGUGGGCCCAGAGAUACCUCUCCGUUUACACGGAGUGACAAAUCCCAGUCUCGAUUCGUGCCAACCCAACAGACACUUUCAGAGAUACCCGUAGUGCACCUUUAUAGCCACCCAGUUACGUUGUGACGUUUGGCACACCCAAAGCACUCCUACGGUAUCCGGGAGUUGCACAAUCUCAUGGUCUAAGGAAAUGAUACUUGACAUUAGAAAAGCUUUAGCAUACGAACUACACGAUCUUGUGCUAGGCUUAGGAUUGGGUCUUGUCCAUCACAUCAUUCUCCUAAUGAUGUGAUCCCGUUAUCAACGACAUCCAAUGUCCAUGGUCAGGAAACCAUAACCAUCUAUUGAUCAACGAGCUAGUCAACUAGAGGCUUACUAGGGACAUGGUGUUGUCUAUGUAUCCACACAUGUAUCUGAGUUUCCUAUCAAUACAAUUCUAGCAUGGAUAAUAAACGAUUAUCAUGAACAAUGAAAUAUAAUAUAAUAAUAACUAAUUUAUUAUUGCCUCUAGGGAAUAUUUCCAACAGUCUCCCACUUGCACUAGAGUCAAUAAUCUAGUUCACAUCGCCAUGUGAUUAACACUCACAGGUCACAUCGCCAUGUGACCAACAUCCAAAGAGUUUACUAGAGUCAGUAAUCUAGUUCACAUCACUAUGUGAUUAACACUCAAUGAGUUCUGGGUUUGAUCAUGUUAUGCUUGUGAGAGAGGUUGUAGUCAACGGGUCUGCAAUAUUCAGAUCCCUAUGUAUUUCGCAAAACUUUAUGUCAUAUCGUAGAUGCUGCUACCACGUUCCACUUGGAGCUAUUCCAAAUUGUUGCUCCAUUAUACGUAUCUGGUAUCUCUACUCAGAGCUAUCUGGAUAGGUGUUAAGCUUGCAUCGACGUAACUCUUUACGUCGAACUCUUUAUCACCUCCAUAACCGAGAAACAUUUCCUUAUCCCUCUAAGGAUAAUUUUGACCGCUAUCUGGUGAUCCACUCCUAGAUCACCUUUGUACCCUCUUGCCAGACAUGUGGCAAGGCACACAUCUAGUGCGGUACUCAGCAUGGCAUACCGUAUAGAGCCUAUGACAAAAGCAUAGGGGACGACCUUCGUCCUUCCUCUUUCUUCUGUCGUGGUCAAUCUUCGAGUCUUACUCAACUUCACACCUUACAACUCAGGUAAGAACCCCUUCUUUGACUAAUCUAUUUUGAACUCCUUCAAAAACAUGUCAAGGUGUGUGUUCUUUGAAAGUAUCAUCAGGCAUUUUGAUCUAUCUCUAUAGAUCUUGAUGCCCAAUAUGUAAGCAGCUUUAUCCAGGUCUUCCUUUGAAAAUCACUCUUCAAACAACCGUUUAUGCUUUCCAGAAAUUCUACAUUAUUUCGAAUCAACAAUAUGUCAUCCACAUAUACUUAUCAAAAAUGUUGUAGUGCUCCCACUCACUUCCUUGUAAAUACAAGUUUCUAGCAAACAUUGUAUAAACCUAAAAGCUUUGAUCACUCCAUCAAAGCAUAUAUUCCGACUCUGAGAUGCUUGCUCUAGUCCAUAGAAGGAUUGCUGGAGCCAGCAUACCUUUUAGCAUCCUUAGGAUCUACAAAACCUUUUAUUGUAUCACAUACAACUUUUUCUUACGAAAACUGGUAAGAAAAUUUGUUUUGACAUCCAUCUGUCAGAUACAGCUAAUGCUAACAUGAUUCCGACGGACUUAAACAUUGCUACAGGUGAGAAAAUCUCAUCGUGGUCAACUCCUUGAACUUGUGAAAAGACUCUUUGCCACAAGUCGAGCUUCAUAGACGGUAACAUUACCGUCCACGUCCGUCUUCUUCUUAAAGAUCCAUUUAUCUCAAUGACUUGCCGAUCAUUGGGCAAGUCCACCAAAGUCCAUGCUUUGUUCUGAUACAUGGAUCCUAUCUCGGAUUUCAUGGCUUCUAACCAUUUGUCGGAAUACGGGCCCACCAUCGCUUCUCCAUAACUCAUAGGUUCAUUGUUGUCUAACAACAUGAUAUCUAAGACAGGAUUACCGUACCACUCAGGAGUAGUACAUAUCCUUGUCGACCUAUGAGGUUCGAUAGCAACUUGAUCCGAAGCUUCAUGAUCACUAUCAUUAACUUCCUCUUCAACAGACGUAGGCACCAUAGAAAACAUCUUUCUGUGUUGCAUCACUCUCUGGUUGAAAUAAAGGUUCGACAACCUCAUCAAGUUCUAUCUUCCUCCCACUCAAUUCUUUCGAGAGAAACUCCUUCUCGAGAAAGGACCCGUUCUUAGCGACAAACAAUUUGCCCUCGGAUCUGAGAUAGAAGGUAUACCCAACUGUCACCUUUGGGUAUCCUAUGAAGAUGUGUUUGUCCGCUUUUGGGUUCGAGCUUCUCCGGCUGAAGCCUUAAGCAUCGCAGCCCCAAACAUUAAGAAAUGACAACUUUGGUGUCUUGCCAAACCAAUUUUCAUACGACGUCGUCUCUACGGAUUUAUAUGGUGUCCUAUGUAAAGUGAAUGCAACUAUCUCUAAUGCAUAACCUCAAAAUAAUAGCGGUAGAUCGCUAAGAGACAUCAUAGAUCGCACCAUAUCUCAUAAGGUUCGAUUAUGACGUCCGGACACACCAUUAAUCUAUGGUGUUCCAGGUGGCUUCAACCGCGAAACAAUUCCACAAUGUCUUAAGUGAUUGCCAAACUCAUAACUCAGAAAAUCCCCCUUUGAUCAGAUCGUAGGAAUAUGAUCUUCUUGUUGUGAUGAUUCUUAACUUCCCUCUGAAAUCGCUUGAACUUUUCAAACGUUUCAGGCUUGUGCUUCAUUAAGUAAAUAUACCUAUAUCUACUCAAAUCAUGAGUGAAGAUGAGAAAAUAGCGAUAUCCACCGCAUGCUCCAAUUCUCAUUGGAUCACACGCAUCAGCAUGUAUGAUUUCCAACAAGUCACUUGCCCGUUUCAUUGUACCUGAAAACGGGAUCUUAGUCAUCCUGCCCAUGAGGCAUGGCUCGCAUGUGUCAAGCAAUUCAAAAUCAAGUGACUCCAAACAUCCAUCGACAUGGAGUUUCUUCAUGCAUCUUACACCAAUAUGACCUAAGCGGCAGUGCUAGAAGAAAGUGGUACUAUCAUUAUUUACUCUACAUCUUUUGGCGUGAACAUGUGUAUUACCACGACCGAGAUUCAAUGAACCAUUCACAUAGGGUGCAUGACCAUGAAAGGUAUUAUUCAUGUAAACAGAAUAACCAUUAUUCUCUAACUUAAAUGAAUAACCGUAUUGCAAUGAACAUGAUCUAAUCAUAUUCAUGCUCAACGUAGACACCUGAUAACAUUUAUCUAGGUUCAAUACUAAUCCCAAAGGCAGAUGGAGCAUGCGAUGGUGAUCUCAUCAACUUUGGAAACACUUCCAACACACAUCGUCACCUCAUCCUUAGCCAGUCUCCGUUUAGUCCGUAGCUUUUCCUUCAAGUCACCAAUAAUAGCAACUGAACCGGUAUCCAAUACCCAGGUGCUACCAGGAGUACUAGUGAGGUACACAUUAAUAACAUGUAUAAACUUUGUUGAAGUUGCUAGCCUUCUUAUCUACCAUGCAUUUGGGGUAAUUCCGCUACCAGUGACCGUUCCCCUUACAAUAGAAGCACUUAGUCUCGGGGUUGGGUUCAACCUUGGGUUCCUUCACUGGAGCGGCAACUGGUUUGCCAUCCAUGAAGUUUCCCUUCUAGCCCUUGCCCUUCUUGAAACCAGUGGUCUUGUUAAACCAUCAACACUUGAUGCUCCUUCUUGAUUUCUACCUUUUGCAGUCUUAAGCACCGCGAACAGCUCCGGGAUCAACUCCAUCCCUUGCAUGUCAUAGUUCAUCACGAAGAUCUAGUAGCUUAGUGAUAGUGGCUAGAGAACUCUAUCAAUCACUAUCUUAUCUGGAAGUUUAACUCCCACUUGAUUUAAGUGGUUGUAGCACCCAGACAUUCUGAGCACAUGCUCACUAGCUGAGCUAUUAUCCUCCAUCUUGUUGGCAAAAGAACUUGUCAGAGGUCUCAUACCUCUCAACACGGGCAUGAGCCUGAAAUCCCAAUUUCAGCUCUUGGAACAUCUCAUAUGUCUUAUGGCGUUCAAAACGUCAUUGGAAUCCCAAUUCUAAGCCGUAAAGUAUGGUGCACUAAACUAUCAAGUAGUCAUCAGGAUGUGUCUGUCAGGUGUUCACAACAUCCAUAGACGAUGUUGUAGGGGUUUGCACAUCGAGCGGUGCAUCAAAGACGUAAGCCUUCUAUCUAGCAGUGAGGACACUCCUCGGACUACGGACCCAGUCCGCAUCAUUGCUUACAAUAUCCUUCAACUUGGUCUUUCUCUAGGAACGUAUUGAAACAGGGAGCUACAACGUGAGCUAUUUAUCUACAACAUAUUUGCAAAGACAAUUUAGACUAUGUUCAUGAUAAUUAAGUUCAUCUAAUCAAAUUAUUUAAUGAACUCCCACUCAGAUAGACAUCCCUCUAGUCAUCUAAGUGAAACAUGAUCCGAGUCAACUAGGUCGUGUCCGAUCAUCAUGUGAGACGGACUAGUCAACAUCGGUGAACAUCUUCAUGUUGAUCGUAUCUUCUAUACGACUCAUGCUCGACCUUUUGGUCUUCCGUGUUUCGAGGCCAUGUCUGUACAUGCUAGGCUCGUCAAGUCAACCUAAGUGUAUUGCGUGUGUAAAUCUGGCUUACACCCGUUGUAUUCGAACGUUAGAAUCUAUCACACCUGAUCAUCACGUGGUACUUCGAAACAACGAACCUUCGCAACGGUGCAUAGUUAGGGGGAACACUUUCUUGAAAUUAUUACGAGGGAUCAUCUUAUUUAAGCUACCGUCGUUCUAAGCAAAUAAGAUGUAAAACAUGAUAAACAUCACAUGCAAUCAAAUAGUGACAUGAUAUGGCCAAUAUUAUUUGCUCCUUUUGAUCUCCAUCUUCGGGGCUCCAUGAUCAUCGUUGUCACCGGCAUGACACCAUGAUCUCCAUCAUCGUGUCUUCUUGAAGUUGUCUUGUCAUCUAUUACUUCUACUACUAUGGCUAACGCUUUAGCAAUAAAGUAAAGUAAUUACAUGACGUUUAUGUUGACACGCAGGUCAUAAAUAAAUUAAGACAACUCCUAUGGCUCCUGCCGGUUGUCAUACUCAUCGACAUGCAAGUCGUGAUUCCUAUUACAAGAACAUGAUCAAUCUCAUACAUCACAUAUAUCAUUCAUCACAUCCUUUUGGCCAUAUCACAUCACACGACAUCUGCUGCAAAAAGAAGUUAGACGUCCUCUAAUUAUUGUUGCAAGUUUUUACGUGGCUGCUAUAGGUUUCUAGAAAGAACGUUUCUUACCUAUGCCAAAACCACAAUGUGAUAUGCCAAUUUCUAUUUACCCUUCAUAAGGACCCUUUUCAUCGAAUCCGAUCCGACUAAAGUGGGAGAGACAGACACCCGCUAGCCACCUUAUGCAACUAGUGCAUGUCAGUUGGUGGAACCAGUCUCACGUAAGCGUACGUGUAAGGUCGGUCCGGGCCGCUUCAUCCCACGAUGCCGCCGAAUCAAGAUAAGACUAGUAACGGCAAGUAAAUUGACAAAAUCGACGCCCACAACAACUUGUGUUCUACUCGUGCAUAGAAACUACGCAUAGACCUAGCUCAUGAUGCCACUGUUGGGGAUUGUAGCAGAAAUUUAAAAUUUUCUAUGCAUCACCAAGAUCAAUCUAUGGAGUAAUCUAGCAACGAGGGGAAGGGGAGUGCAUCUACAUACCCUUGUAGAUGCAAGAACGCGGAUGAAGGAGUCGUACUCGUAGCGAUUCAGAUCGCGGUUGAUUCCGAUCUAAGCGCCGAACAACGGUGCCUCCGCGUUCAACACACAUGCAGCUCGGUGACCUCUCCUACGCCUUGAUCCAGCAAGGGGAGAAGGAGAGGUUGGGAAGACUCCAUCCAGCAGCAGCACGACGGCGUGGUGGUGGUGGAGGAGCGCGGAACUCCAGCACGGCUUCGCCAAGCACUACGAGAGACGAGGAGGGAGAGAGGUAGGGCUGCGCCAACAGGGGAAGAACUUCGUGUGUUGGGCUGCCCCUUUGCCUCCACUAUAUAUAGGGGGAGAGGGAGGGCUGCGCCCCCACCUAGGGUUUCCACCCUAGGGGUGGCGGCAGCCCCAAUCCCCAUCUGGGGUGGCGGCCAAGUGGGGGGGAGAGGGAGGCGCACCAGGCAUGGGCCUUAGGGCCCAUAUGCCCUUAGGGUUUGCCCCCCUCUUCUCUCUAGGCGCAUGGGCCUUGGUGGGGAGGCGCCCCAGCCCACCUAGGGGCUGGUACCUUCUCACACUUGGCCCAUGUAUGCCUCCGGGGCCCGUGGCCCCUCCCGGUGGACCCCCGGACCCCUUCGGUGGUCCCGGUACACUACCGGUGAUGCCCGGAACACUUCCGGUGGCCAAAACCAUACUUCCUAUAUAUCAAUCUUUACCUCCAGACCAUUCCGGAACUGCUCGUGACGUCCGGGAUCUCAUCCGGGACUCCGAACAACAUUCGGUAACCGCGUACAUACUUUCCCUAUAACCCUAGCGUCAUCGAACCUUAAGUGUGUAGACCCUACGGGUUCGGGAGUCAUGCAGACAUGGCCGAGACAACUCUCCGGUCAAUAACCAACAGCGGGAUCUAGAUACCCAUGUUGGCUCCCAUAUGCUCCACGAUGAUCUCAUCGGAUGAACCACGAUGUCAAGGAUUCAAUCAAUCCCGUAUACAAUUCCCUUUGUCUAUCGGUACAAUACUUGCCCGAGAUUCGAUCAUCGGUAUCCCGAUACCUUGUUCAAUCUCGUUACUGGCAAGUCUCUUUACUCGUCCGUAACACAUCAUCCCGUGAUCAACUCCUUGAUCACAUUGUGCACAUUAUGAUGAUGUCCUACCGAGUGGGCCCAGAGAUACCUCUCCGUUUACACAGAGUGACAAAUCCCAGUCUCGAUUCGUGCCAACCCAACAGACACUUUCAGAGAUACCGUAGUGCACCUUUAUAGCCACCCAGUUAUGUUGUGACAUUUGGCACACCCAAAGCACUCCUACGGUAUCCGGGAGUUGCACAAUCUCAUGGUCUAAGGAAAUGAUACUUGACAUUAGAAAAGCUUUAGCAUACAAAUUACAUGAUCUUGUGCUAGGCUUAGGAUUGGGUCUUGUCCAUCACAUCAUUCUCCUAAUGAUGUGAUCCCGUUAUCAAUGACAUCCAAUGUCCAUGGUCAGGAAACCGUAACCAUCUAUUGAUCAACGAGCUAGUCAACUAGAGGCUUACUAGGGACAUGGUGUUGUCUACUUAUCCACACAUGUAUCUGAGUUUCCUAUCAAUACAAUUCUAGCAUGGAUAAUAAACGAUUAUCAUGAACAAUGAAAUAUAAUAUAAUAAUAACUAAUUUAUUAUUGCCUCUAGGGCAUAUUUCCAACACUGUCUUCCCGUAACUUUUUGAUGUUCUCCUCUGUGACGGAGGAGACCAUCCAGUUGCCUCCUGCUCCGGACAUGCUUGGAGUGGUUUGAGAAGAAGAACGUGAGCUUGGGCGCUAGAGUUCGGGUGUGCAGGAAUGGGUAAGCAAGGAGGAAGAAGGCGUGGGUGAAAAGAGUAAAUCCUUGUCCCUUUAUAAGGGCGGAAGAGGCGAUGCGUCUCCCCACUUGUCUGCUAAAACUGCUUAUUCCCCAGGCACCAUAAUUGAUGGCACGGAUGGGUUACCCACGUCCGUAUUGAUGAGAAUCCUGUAAUAAGGGGGACACGAUCUCUGCCUUGACAAGACGUGACAGAAAAACCGCCUCGCAAUAUGCGCAUCACUGGUUGAGAAAAACGGUUCAGAUAAGGACCGGGCCAUGACGUGAUGUUGUGCCGCCAAAACGUGCCAGCAGAUUAGAUUUAUGGAAAUAUUAUUCUCUCUACGGUGGGGUGUGGAACUUGUUUUGCAGAACCGGACACUAUCCUUGUGUUCAAAAAUCUUCCAUGAAGUAUUUGGAUAAGAACCCGCCUUGCAAUGCCGAAGACAAUACUGCGCGCCGGACUCAUCGCCAUUGAAGCCUGGUUCAGGGGCUACUGAGGGAGUCCUGGAUUAGGGGGUCUCCGGACAGCCGGACUAUAUCUUUUGGCCGGACUGUUGGACUAUGAAGAUACAAGAUUGAAGACUUCGUCCCGUGUCCGGAUGGGACUCUCCUUGGCGUGGAAGGCAAGCUAGGCAAUACAGAUAUGUAGAUCUCCUCCCUUGUAACCGACCUUGUGUAACCCUAGCCCCCUCCGGUGUCUAUAUAAACCGGAGGGUUUAGUCCGUAGGACAAUAUAAAAUCAUACCAUAGGCUAGCUUCUAGGGUUUAGCCUCUAUGAUCUCGUGGUAGAUCAACUCUUGUAAUACUCAUAUCAUCAAGAACAAUCAAGCAGGACGUAGGGUAUUACCUCCAUCAAGAGGGCCCGAACCUGGGUAAACAUCGUGUCCCCUGCCUCCUGUUACUAUCCGCCUUAGACACACAGUUCGGGACCCCCUACCCAAGAUCCGCUGGUUUUGACACCGACAACAGCCUUUAUCACUUCCUUUGGAGCCUUUUGUUAUGUAUCUAUGCCUUUUGGGCUCAAGAGUGCCCAGGCGACAUACCAGCGGUAUGUGCAGAAUUGUCUUCAUGAUCACAUUGGGCGCAAUGUUCAUGCCUAUGUGGAUGAUAUUGUGGUGAAAUCCAGGAAGAAGGAAACCUUGAUAGACGAUUUAAAGGAAACCUUUGACAAUCUCCGGAUUUAUAAGAUGAUGCUUAACCCGGCCAAGUGCAUUUUUGGUGUGCCAACAAACAAGCUAUUGGGAUUUCUGGUUUCAGAACGGGGUAUUGAAGCUAACCCGGAGAAGAUAAAAGCUAUCACCUCUCUGGCUAAGCCGGCGUGUAUCAAUGAUGUUCAGCGUUUGGCGGGUCAUAUUGCGCCUUAAGCCGGUUCAUAAGCCGGUUGGGUGAGAAGGCUAUCCCUCUGUACCAGAUGAUGAAGAAGACAUAUCACUUUGUCUGGAGUGAUGCUGCUGAUCAGGCAUUUGAGGCCUUGAAGAAACAAUUGGCUAAGCUUCCAGUUCUUGUUGCUCCCAUUGAUAAGGAGCCUUCGCUGUUAUAUGUGGCUGCCAAUAGCAAAGCUGUUAGUGUAGCCAUUGUGGUGGAAAGGAAGGAAUCAUGCAAGGAUCAUCCGGUUCAGCGACCGGUUUACUACAUCAGUGAGGUGCUUAUUGAGUCCAAGCAGAGGUACCCACAUUGGCAGAAGCUUGUGUGUGGGGUGUUCAUGGCUAGUCGAAAACUCCAGCAAUAUUUUAUGGGUCAUCCUAUCACUGUGGUUAGUUCUGCUCCUUUAGGGGAUAUUAUUCAGAACAGGGAAGCCAUAGGUCAGGUAGCCAAGUGGGACAUUAAGCUUGGACCUCAUGGUUUGAAGUAUAUGCCUCGAACAACCAUUAAGUCUCAAGCACUUGUGGAUUUCAUAAAUGAUUGGACAGAGUUGCAGAUGCCUGAAGAGAAGCCGAAUGUUCGUACACGAACAUGUCACCGUGUACCUCCAACACCAAGGGUGAUGCACCGCAGCUCACGUCGAAGGAGACCCGUCCGGAAGUGCGGUACGCAAGCAAUCCGGCAGGUGCUUUUGAGGACCCGAAACCCCACACACCCGGGAGGGACCCCAUCAGGGCUUGCGGCGGCUAUGGACUGCCCUAGGUCGACCGGAUCGCCCCUAGGGCCUCGAGGUGCGCCGCCCUGCUAACGAAGAACGAACGAAGAACGAGGUAGAAGAAGAACAAGGGAGAGAGAUAAAGGUAAAGGUAAAAAGAUGAUAUAUUGAUAGAUCGAUUGUGUGUUGUUUCAAUCGGCCGUCACCCCCAACAUAUAUAAGAGGUGGCUGGACUUCCCGUACAAGCAAAGGAUUUAUCUAGGCUUUCCUUACAAGAAAAUUACAUCAAUUCACGUCCAAAACCCUAGUCAAAUUCGGACUGAUUUUAUCUGAACUUUCCAAAACUGUUUGGUUUAAACUGGCUGCACCUUGCGGGUCUUUUUUGCGGUGGUAAAUGAUCUCGGAUGAAAACAAGCCCAAAAGCAGUCUUGACCGUUUCGACGAGACGAACAACUUUCAUGUUGAAGGUUUUUUGAUCAGAGAUCAUAUUGAGGGUCAGAUCGGUCUCGCAACACAUGCUAUUCCCUCGCGCUACCCGUCAGACAUGUGUCUGCUGGGGCGCGCCACGUCUCGCCUCGUGACAGGGCUGCACUCCGAUUGCUCUAAAUUUUGCAUACAAACUCGGAUUUGAACGAUUUAUAUAUCAAAAUCGAUCGUUUCGACGAGACGAAGACAACUCGUGUAGAUCAUGUUUUCAUUUGAGGUCGUCUUGGGGGCUUAUUCGGCUAAACUGUACUUUGAAUAUAAGAUCUUAGUACUUUGAGCAUAGUUUCGGCCUUCGAGAUGAAAUCGGACGGCGAUGACCCAAAUUUCAAAGAUGUUCAUAUCAAUAAUACAGAACUCUUUCAUGUAGAUCACUUCUCCAUUUGAGGCCAUCUUAAUUAUGUUUUUGACCAUGCCAAAAACUGGUGUCAACACAUGCCCCCCCUGUUUUUCGGCAAAACUUGUGAGACGAAAAAUAAUUUGCACGAAGUUUUGGUAAGCACAAUGUCAACACUCCAUCGGCCAUUUGUACAUACUUAGGACGAUAGCUAUAUAUCAGCCAUUUAGAUUAGCAACAAAAGUGAAGCUAAUUGAACAUAUGAUGAUUUGGUAAUACCCUUUCAUGAUGUAAGAAAUUAUAUUGCAUCCAUGGAUUAAAAUAAGCCCACUGAGGGUAACCAAUCAUACCUGAUGACGAAUUCCAUGGCAUAGGCAUCAAUGGCAUAGUUGAAGAAUAUGGAUAAUGUAUAGACCGAAGAUGUUGAAACCUUCGGCUUGGUCCUUCAUAGUUUUCACUAUUUUCCUUCUUCACCUUUGCCGCACUUCUUGUAAAGGAAGCUCGCACAUAAUUCUUAUUUUGAAUACUUCCUUUUGGAACCCAUGCCAUGUUUCUCUUUUCAAGUUCUUGUGCACUAAACUUUUACAACUUCUUCUUUUGCCAAUACGAUAAGCCGAGUGGGUACCCCGGCUGCGAUUUUGUUUGAAGUAAUGGCAAUUCUUGUUUUACCUUGUGCACUCUCUUCUUCCCUUUAGAUUUGGCACUUGAUUGGCUUGCUUCAUUGCCUUUUAUAGCCAAUGUAAAUAAUUUAAUUGAAUCUUUAUCAUUUGAGAUCAUAGCUGAAGUGGCACUCUUACGACCAUCUCUUUUGACACGGUAGACUUGCUCAACCACCUCCUUAUUCUUCCUUGUGUUUCAGACCGAUUCUUUUUUAUUGAAACGGUCUUGAACAUAUGACUGCUCAUUGAAUGUUGGUCUUCUUGUAGUUGCAUAAUAUUGGCGAGAUGGUUUAUAAUAAUAUGGAGAAUGUGCCCUUGUAUUAUACUUGUCCCAUGAUGGAUAUGGAUUUGUGUGAGCAUAGGGAGGCAUCCACGACAUUGGCAUUGACGGUCCAAAAUAAGGAUAUGAAUAAGUUUCAUUCAAAUUCUCUUCUUGCCAAUAUCGAUCCUUGGAUUUGCACCUAGGGGGUGAUCUUGAUGCUUUUGCAUUAGUUGGCCGAUAAGCACUGCUCUCCUCACUUAUCUUCUGAUAUUUUUUCAAAAGUUGCGCGAAAGUGACUUUCGGCUUUUUACCUUUGUGCUUACAUCGGCUUUUGUUUUCUUUGGCUGUGCUUGCAUCGAUCUUUGGAUUUUCUUGUUGCCCCCCCAGUCCUUGGCGUCUCCAUUGUAGCUUCGAUGAAAUUUUCGCCCUCAAGAUUAUGUUCAUUAUGCUCUUCAACAAUUUCUUUACUUGAAAGCUUAAUCCCAUCACCUGCAGUUUUUACCUUCUCUUUAAAUGGAUCGGCUUGAAGUAGCCGAUGCAAAAAAUUUCUGCCAUCGGGACUAAUCGGAAUAGACUGGUGAUCUCUUGGUGUCUCAACAAAUUUCAAUCGUCCUUUAUCAAUGGCCGAUUUAACUAUUUGACGAAACAUGUUGCAAUCCUCAAAAUUAUGCUUGGAUGAAUCAUGCAACUUACAAUACAUUCGUCCUUGGACAGAUGGGUCAACAUGGUGAUCAAGAAUUCUAAUAUAAUUAUUUCUCAACAACAAAUUAAAUAUUUGAUCACACAUGCUUGAAUUGAAGGUAAAAUUGUUAUUCUCUAUCCGAUCUUGUUGUGAGAACGACUUUGGAGUUAAGCAAACGAAUGGUUCAGAUUUUGCAUCACCCCAUACGGCUAUGCAUUGUGUUUUGCACUCUAUCUCCGAUGUCUUUGGAUAAGAAACUAUACUGGCGUUGGUUUGCUCAGAGGAUUUUAACCUUAGCUUUAAAUUUCUGAAACGAAAAUAUUUAGAACAUACAUGUCUCAGUUGAGACCAAGUGUAAGCCAAGUAAGAAAUAAGCAAAGCUACCCAAUUAGAUAUGAAUUUUAAAUAAAGCAAUGGGAAAAGCUUUGGCUGCAGUAAUAAGUCACUAUCGGUCUCUUUGAAUGGUACAAUAUAUUGACCGAUAUGCUUAGUAAAAUUUUUAUUGCUAACAAGUAAAUUUCCCUUCUUCAUUGGUCUUUGAAAAUUAAUUAUUAGAAUUUUUCUAAUAGAUGCAUCAACAAUAAAGUUGUGACCAAAUCUGAAAGUAGGUAAAUUACUUGCUAGACAUACCUCUUCGAAUAUGUUAGGAGAGUAUGAUGAUUGCAUAUGAUGAAUAAUAUUGUGCUUUGCUUCUAGAUGACUUCCCAACACAAUGUCACAAUUUUCUUCUUUAUUUCGUGCAUCAUAAAUUUGAAGAUCUUCGUCAACCGAACUUUGUUCGGCUACUUGCUCUUGUCCUUGAAGCUUGUCAAUUUCUAUGGCACGAAACUCAUAGGGCAGGAAGUAGGUUCCAUUAAAUUCAGAAAAAUCAAACAUGGAUGUCUUGCUAUGCUUGCCAUGCCCUUUCUCAAUAAUGCUUGCCUCUUUGGAUUUGAUGGAUUCGGAAUAUAUACUACUUGAUUCGGCUUUUUCAACUGAAGCACUUUUAGUUUCCGAAUCAUCAUUCUUUUUUCCGGUUAUAUCAAUUGGCAAGGCUUCUUUUCUUUGAGCCAAUUCCCUAUCAAUUCUCUCUUGGCGAGGUACCUGCACCCUAUCGCGCAAAGCUUUAACUCCCCUCUCAAUUCCAGCCUGCUCUAGAUUAGUUUGCCUCCCAAUGCUUUUAGAAUCUUUCAGCAAUGAAGUGUUAGUGUUGCCGAAAUUUUGCAAUUGUGUAGGGGAUGUAUAAUAUGCUGCGGUACUAGGUGGAGGUGUAUGCACUGCUGUAUAACCAUAUGCUCUUUCGCCAAUUCUAUCAAUGCAUGUAGUUUCAUCUUCUUGCAAAACUCUAGCCUUUAUUGCAGCAUAAUCAGGAAACAACCCAUUUUCAUAUUGUUCAAGGCAAAGAGCACUAAUUCUCUUGUUUUAUGCCAAGCUCCUUUUUAACGCAACCACAACCGCUUCUGGAAGGGAUUGCUCUACAAUACUUUCAGAUUCUUUCGGCAACGAUUCAUGAGUGUUGCUGAAAUUCUCGAAUUGCAUAGAGUAUGCAUUAUAUGCUACAGUAUUUGAUGACGGCACAUGUGUUCCUGUAAAAUUUUCACUUAUUCGGCUAUGACCAUGAAGAUGCGGGGCCGAAUUAUGAACAUCUACAGUUGCAUAUGGUGCUAAAAAAUUACUAACAUCAGGUGUAGCAUAUGAUGGUUGAGAGUAACUGGCCGAAUAGCUAGUAGUAGCAUGGCUAAUUCUCCCAUCCAUCGGUAAGGUUGGAUUCACAUACUGCAAAUUAGUUGCUGAUGAAUAAAAAGGUGAAACACUUUCUUCUAUGGUAUUGGAAAUUUUAACAUGAGGUGUUUCAAAUUGAUUAACUGAACCCAUCAUGUUGUUCAUCGGCAUAUGGAUUUGUGGGGUUGCCGAUGCAUGAGAGUUAUGAUACAUAGGUUGUAUGUUACUAGUAUCAUAAGAAGUUGAAACAUAUAAAUUACUUUGAAUCGGCCUAUGCACGUAAUUAGAUGCAUUAUUGAAAAAACUAGGGCUGGCCGAUAGAGUAUAAUCAUUGAACGAUCUAGUAACAACAUAUGAAUUAUUUGCAUCUAUAGUAGGGAAUUGGGUAUUCAUAUUACCUUUGUAGAUUGCAAACCCUAGAUGACGAUCUUGUUGUAGCAAGAACGGGUCGGAGACCAUUCAAAGUUUCGUCCCCAGCGGAGUCGCCAAAACGUGUGUUCGCACACGAACACGUCACCGUGUACCUCCAACGCCAAGGGUGAUGCACCGCAGCUCACGUCGAAGGAGACCCGUCCGGAAGCGCGGUACGCAAGCAAUCCGGCGGGUGCUUCUGAGGACCCGAAACCCCACACACCCGGGAGGGACCCCGUCAGGGCUUGCGGCGGCUAUGGGCUGCCCUAGGUCGACCUGAUCGCCCCUAGGGCCUCGAGGUUCGCCGCCCUGCUAACGAAGAACGAACGAAGAAUGAGGAAGAAGAAGAACAAGGGAGAGAGAUAAAGGUAAAGGUAAAAAGAUGAUAUAUUGAUAGAUCGAUUGUGUGUUGUUUCAAUCGGCCGUCACCCCCAACAUAUAUAAGAGGCGGCUGGACUUCUCGUACAAGCAAAGGAUUUAUCUAGGCUUUCCUUACAAAAAAAUUACAUCAAUUCACGUCCAAAACCCUAGUCAAAUUCGGACUGGUUUUAUCCGAACUUUCCAAAACUGUUUGGUUUAAACUGGCUACACCUUGCGGGUCUUUUUUGCGGUGGUAAACUAUCUCGGAUGAAAACAAGUGCAAAAGCAAUCUUGACCGUUUCGACGAGACGAACAACUUUCAUGUUUAAGGUUUUUUGAUCAGAGAUCAUCUUGAGGGUCAGAUCGGUCUCGCAACACAGGCUAUUCCCUCGCGCUACCCGUCAGACAUGUGUUUGGUGGGGCGCGCCACGUCUCGCCUCGUGACAGGGCUGCACUCCGAUUGCUUUAACUUUUGCAUACAAACUCAGAACGAUUUAUAUAUCAAAAUCGAUCGUUUAGAUGAGAUGAAGACAACCCGUGUAGAUCAUUUUUUCAUUUGAGGUCGUCUUGGGGGCUUAUUCGGCUAAACUGUACUUUGAAUAUAAGAUCUUAGUACUUUGAGCAUAGUUUCGGCCUUCGAGAUGAAAUCGGACGGCGAUGACCCAAAUUUCAAAGAUGUUCAUAUCAAUAAUAGGAACUCUUUCAUGUAGAUCACUUCUCCAUUUGAGGCCAUCUUAAUUAUGUUUUUCACCAUGCCAAAAACUGGUGUCAACAUCGGAUAACACAUAUUGGACUAUUCACUUUGAUGGAUCCAGGCAAUUGGAGGGCUCGAGGGCUGGAGUUGUCUUGACUUCCCCAUGAGGUGAUAAGUUUUCUUAUGUUCUCCGGUUGAUGUUCCCUUGUACUAACAAUGCAGCUGAGUACGAGGCUUUGCUCCACGGUCUUCGGAUGGCUAAGGAGAUGAUAUCGAGCCGGGUGAGGUGUUUCGGCGACUCAGAUCUGGUAGCUUAGCAAGUUUCUGGCACUUGGGACUCUAAGGAUCCACUCAUGGCGGCUUAUCAUUGAGAGGUUGACGCUAUCGUAGGUCACUUCAAGGGUUAUCAAGUUGAACAUGUUGAUCACAGGAAAAAUGAGGCGGCUGACGCUUUAAGACAGUUAGGGUCUCAGCGUAAGCCGGUGCCACCUAAUACUUCCCUGGAUAUUCUGCAUAACCCUUCUGUCAAAUGGCCUAUAGAAGAGGAUCUUGCUAUUCCUGAUCCAGAAACGCAAUUGGUGGCGGCUCUUCAUGCUAUUCCCAACGGGACGAUUCCAUAUUUGGCUUAUAUAACCUAGGGCGAGUUACCUGAGGAUGAAGCUUUGGCCAGGCAGAUAACCGGGCGGUCUAAGUCAAUGACUAUUUUCAAUGGAGAGUUGCAUCAUCGCAGUGUCACAGGGGCGUUUCAACAUUGUGUUUCCCAUGAAGGAGAUUGUGGUCAUCAUGUCGGUUCUAAGUCUCUCGUAGCCAAGGCUUUCCGUCAUGGGUUUUAUUGGUUGACGGCUCACGCUGAUGCUGAGGAUCUAGUUAGUAAAUGUGAUGGUUGUCAGAAGUUUUCAUGACGAGCUCAUGUGCUGGCUCAAGAAUUGAGGAUGAUUCCGGUUGCUUGGCCGUUUGCAGUCUGGGGGCUUGAUAUGGUUGGGACUUUCAAGAGGUCCAAAGAUAAAAAGACUCAUCUUUUGGUGGCAGUUGACAAGUUUACAAAAUGGGUUGAGGCGGAGCUGGUUAGCAAGUGUGACGCAGCGAUGACGGUUCAAUUCAUCAAAAAGGUGAUUUUACGUUUUGGCUUUCCCCAUAGCAUUAUAACUGAUAAUGGCACUAAUUUAUCCAAGGGUGCUAUGAAAGAAUUUUGUCAACGUGAGCAUAUUCGGCUUGACAUAUCAUCAGUGGCUCACCCCCAGUCUAAUGGUCAAGCUUAGAGAGCCAAUCAAGAGAUCUUGAGAGGCAUCAAGCCCCGUCUUAUGGUUCCUUUGCAGAGGACACCGGGUUGUUGGGUGGAGGAGUUACCCUCAGUGUUAUGGAGUAUCAAUACUACCCCAACAGAUCUACGGGUUACACACCUUUCUUCAUGGUUUACGGAGCAGAGGCGGUUCUCCCUAGUGACAUCCGUGACGACUCGCCCCGUGUGGCGGCUUAUGUUGAAGCUAACAAUGAAAAAGCACGUCAGGAUGCACUUGACCUGUUAGGUGAGGAGUGUGACCUUGCGGUGGCUCGUUCGGCGAUUUACCAACAAGAUCUGCGCCGUUAUCACAACCGCCGGGUUAAAACAAGAACCUUUCAGGAAGGUGACUUGGUGCUCCGGCUUUUCCAGGAUCAAUCUGAUAUGCACAAGCUAUCCCCACCUUGGGAAGGGCCCUUCGUGGUCAGCAAAAUUCUGAACAAUGGGUCAUACUACCUUAUCGAUGUUCGAGACCGCAAAGACUCACACACGUCGGAGGAGGAGACCUGCCGGCCAUGGAAUAUUGCUCAUCUUCGGCCUUACUACACCUGAGCCACUGGCUCUUAUGAUGUACAUAUUAUGACAAUGUAUAUAUUAUGAUGAAUAUAAUAAAGCCAGCAUCCCUGAUAAUUCAGGGCCUCUGUCGUUUCAUUCCUGAGAAUAACGAGUCUUUAUUGUCAUGAUCACUUGGGGGCUUCCUGCUCAUUGAGCAUAGCUAUGACUACCCUUUUGGUAUGGCUUGUAUGCCAUGAUUAUAAAACACUUGGGGGCUUCCUGCUCACUGAGUAUAGCUAUGACUACCCUUGUGGAUCUGGCUUAUAUGCCUGGAAUAAAUUGUUACUUGGGGGCUCUUUGUUCAACGGACAAGAGUUUUUAUGACUCUUGUAAUAGGCUUGGAAGCCAGGUGUAUUCACCUAAAAACCCGGGUUGACCUGCCUUUUCAAGUCUGCCACUCCACCCAGAUUGACUGGAAUGACUCGCCAUACUUUUGACAAGUCAAUCUUAUACAGACCCUGAACUUGUCAAAGUUAAAACAAUGAUUCGUCAUAUGAGGCCAGGCUUAUAAGGUUUGCAUGAAGGUUUAACUCAGUGGCUGUGCGGCCCUUUGAAAGCACUUGAUUUUUAGGCUUGGCAGCCUAUGAAAAGCCUUGUUUUUUGAUUUAUAUUUGAAAAGUUUUUUGAGGUUCAUCUCUUGUGACAUGUUAAUACAUGGUUGAAAACAACGAAGGUUAUGAUGCCUUAUGAUGACAUUAUCUGGUGUUUAUUAACCCGGCCUGGCUUUGGACUAUAAGUCGCUAGUAUAUAAGGAUCUUAUAUACCUGGAAGCACUGUGCUCCAAGUUUUGGGAUAUUACCCCUUGCUGUACAUGGCGUUGUAAGCUGGCAGUAUAUGAUAAUUGAGCAGGGUAUUUUAUGCUCAAUCUUUAGUUGUCACCUUUAUUACGCUGGUAUGAUAAGCCGACAGUGUGAGCAAAUAUCACAAGUAUGAUAUUUUUAUUAUGAUUAUAUAUGGUUAUGAUUAAACCGCCACUGGUGUCAGUGUCAAAACCGGCGGAUCUCGGGUAGGGGGGUCCCGAACUGUGCGUCUAAGGUCGAUGGUAACAGGAGACAAGGGACACGAUGUUUACCUAGGUUUGGACCCUCUCUAUGGAGGUAAUACCCUACGUCCUGCUUGAUUGAUAUUGAUGAAUAUGAGUAUUACAAGAGUUGAUCUACCUCAAGAUUGUAAUGGCUAAGCCCUAGAAGUCUAGCCUGUAUGACUACGAUAUUGAGUAUAUAUCCUUUCCGGACUACACCCUCUGGUUUAUAUAGUCACCGGGGGGGGGGAUCUAGGGUUACAUAGAGUCGGUUACAUAAGAUGUAAUCUUCAUAGUUGUUCGCCAAGCUUGCCUUCCACGCCAAGGAGAGCCUUAUCCGGACACGGGUACAAUAUUCGGUCUUCAUAUCUUCACAGCCCAUCAAUCCGGCCCGUAGAUAACAGGCUGGACGCCCGAGGACCCCUUAGUCCAGGACUCCCUCAGUAGCCUCUGAACCUGGCUUCAAUGACAAGGUAUCCGACGCGUAGUGCUGUCUUCGGCAUUGCAAGGCGGGUUCCUCCUUUUUAACUCCCGAAUAGUCUCCAGACGAGUUGAUCGUGUCCGGACCUGUAACACACACCGCACGCAACCGCAGAGAGGAUAUAAUAACACACGAGCCCAAUCUGCUGACAACUUUAGUGAUGUGACAUCACGCCUGUCCGGUCAUAAUUUCGAACCGUUUUUUGCCCCAUGUUUCGAGACGCGGUUGUCAUUGGCACGUCUUGUCAAAGCAGAGAUCGUGUCCCCUUAUUACGGGAUUCUCAUCAACAUGGGCGUGGGUAACCCAACCGCGCCGUUUACACAACCCUUGGGAGCAGGCGAAUUUUAAGGUGAAUGGGGGGCGUUCGAUAUUCACCACCCUUAUAAGGAGAUAAAAUUCCUCUUUCUUCUCCCACGCUUUCUUCCUGUCUCUCCUUUCUUGAGCUCCAACUCCCGAGUUCUCAUUUCCCUGUCUCGAGAAAGCACUCAACCAUGUCCGGAUCCGGAGGUCAAGGCAAAUGGAUGGCCUCCUCUAUUAAGGAGGAGGACAUCACCGAGCUUUGGGCGGCCGGGUACCUGGCGAAGGAAAUCACCCACCGUCUUCCAGCCCGGGGACAAAUCAUCCCCACACCGAAGCCCAACAAGAGGGUAGUGUUCAUCCCUCAUUUCCUCCGCGGGCUAUGGUUUUCACUCCACCCCUUCAUCCACGGGAUAAUUUUCUACUAAGGGAUAGACUUCCACGAUCUAUCCCCGAACUCCUUCCUCAAUAUCUCGGCAUUCAUCAUCGUGUGAGAGGCCUUCCUCCGCAUCCACCCCCACUUCGGCCUGUGUCUCAAAACCUUCAACAUGAAGCCCAAGGUCGUGGACGGACAUCACGCAGAGUGCGGGGCACCAUGGUGAGCAAGCUCACCAAUGUCUCUUGGCCAAAAGGCACAUUCGUGGAAUCUGUUAAGGAAUGGCAGAAGCUAUGGUUCUACUUCACCGAACUCUGCUGUAACGCCCUCGAUGCGGCUAUAUCUCCCACGUGUCGAAGCAUGACUUAGAGGCAUAACCGCAUUGAAAGCAAUGUCGCAAGUGAGGUAAUCUUCACACAACCCAUGUAAUACAAUAGGGGAAAAAGAUAUAUAGUUGGCUUACAAUCGCCACUUCACACAAUUACAUGAAUAAGGCAUUACAUCAUCCAGAUACAAUCAAGGUCCGACUACGGAACCAAAAUAAAAGAAGAACCCCAAAAGUGACACGGUCCCCGAUCGACCCCAAUUGGGCUCCACUACUGAUCAACUAGAACGAAACAACACAAAGGACAAGAUCUUCAUCGAGCUCCUCCUUGAGCUUGGUUGCGUCAUCUGCACGGACUCAUCGGCACCUGCAAGCUGGUUUUGGAAGUAUCUGUGAGUCACGGGGACUCAGCAAUCUCGCACCCUCGUGAUCAAGACUAUUUAAGCUUAUGGGUAAGAUAAAAGUAUGAGGUGGAGCUGCAGCAAGCGACUAGCAUAUAUGGUGGCUAACAUACGCAAAUGGGAGCGAGAAGAGAAGGCAAAGCACGAUCGAUAAACUAUGAUCAAGAAGUGAUCCUAGAACAACCUACGUCAAGCAUAACUCCAACACAGUGUUCACUUCCCGGACUCCGCCGGAAAGAGACCAUCACGGUUACACACGCGGUUGAUGCAUUUUUAAUCAAGGUCAACUUCAGGUUUUCUACAACCGGACAUUAACAAAUUCCCAUCUGCCCAUAACCGCGGGCACGGCUUUCAAAAGUUCAAAUCCCUGCAGGGGUGUCCCAACUUAGCCCAUGACAAGCUCUCACGGUCAACGAAGGAAUAGACCUCCUCCCGAGACAUUCCGAUCAGACUCGGUAUCCCGGUUCUUCAAGACAUCCUCAACAAUGGUAAAACAAAUCCAGCAAAGCCGCCCGAUGCGCCGACAUCCUGAUGGGAGCUGCACAUAUCUUGUUCUCAGGGCAACACCGGAUAGGUCAAGCUAUGAGUAAAACCAGCCCUCAAGUUUCCCCGAGGUGGCCCCGCAGGCUGCCCAUUUCGGACCAACACUUAGACAAGCACUGGCCCGGGAGGGGUUAAAAUAAAGAUGACCCUCGGGAUGCGCGACUCCCAAGGGAAAAAGGCUAGGUGGCGAAUGGUAAAACCAAGGUUGGGCCCUGCUGGAGGAGUUUUAUUCAAAGCGAACUGUCAAGGGGUUCCCAUUAUAACCCAACCGCGUAAGGAACGCAAAAUCCGGGAACAUAACACCGAUAUGACGGAAACUAGGGCGGCAAGAGUGGAACAAAACACCAGGCAUAAGGCCGAGCCUUCCACCCUUUACCAAGUAUAUAGAUGCAUUAAUUAAAUAAGAUAUAUUGUGAUAUCCCAACAAGUAAACAUGUUCCAACAAGGAACAACAUCUCCAUGUUCCAACAAGGAACAAACUUCAAUCUUCACCUGCAACUAACAACGCUAUAAGAGGGGCUGAGCAAAGCGGUAACAUAGCCAAUCAACGGUUUGCUAGGACUAGGUGGGUUAGAGGCUUAGUUCAACAAUAUGGGAGGCAUGAUAGGCAAGUGGUAGGUAUCGCAGCAUAGGCAUAGCAAAAGAGCGAGCAACUAAGCAAGCAAAGAUAGAAGUGAUUUCGAGGGUAUGAUCAUCUUGCCUGAGAUCCCGCAAGGAAGAAGAACGAGUCCAUGAAGAAGAUAAAUGGACGAAGUCGAACCAAUCCUCACAACACGACGUUAUCGGAACCAACCCGAAGAAGCAACACCGGAAAGAAGCAAACAACAUAGUAAACAACCAACACAUAGACAUGGCAUGAUGCACAAACAAUUAUGAUGCAUGUCCAGUUUAAUUAGGCAUGGCAUGGCAAAGUGCACAAGCAACCCCACAAAUUAAGUGGAGCUCAAUAUGCAACGAGUUGCAUAUUGACGAAACACCACAUGACUUAUUUAGUUCACUCUCGGUUAGGUACCCAACAAUAUUCAAUGUUGUUAAACAUGGCAAGAAGUGAGGCAUAACAAAACUACACCAUCUAAACAAUUCAAAUGAGGCCGGAUAUAACCAACAACAAAU
RNAcentral lists this long non-coding RNA (64217 nucleotides) under Triticum aestivum (bread wheat). Its description in RNAcentral is "long non-coding RNA (TAES_LNC025402)". Lineage: Eukaryota; Viridiplantae; Streptophyta; Magnoliopsida; Poales; Poaceae. The record is from RNAcentral.